UUUUUUUUUUUUUUUUUUUUGGGUAAGUAGGAAGUUUUAAACGCCAAAACUCUUAUUUACACCGGAGAGAAAUGACUAUAGAAGAACUACUCUAGGACAAAAAUUUCAACCUAGUGACUCAAAAUUCCAUCCAAUUUAAUUUUAAUAAAUAUGGCUAUAUUCAAUUUUGCUGUCAUCACAGCAAAUAUAAGGUAGGAAGUAAUUAAUCUGGAAGAAGAAUGAUAAUCUUUUCAAAUUUGUGAAACACAUGAGUGACUUCUUAAAGGAUAUUCAAAACCAUGUACAUGUGUUUGGAUGUAUAAUUUCAGGGGAAGGGGAUCUUAAUCAUUUAUGCUAUCCAAAACUGGGGGGGAAAAAUGAAUUUCUUGAUUUGAGAUUUAAAAAGGCCUUUCAAGAAUCUCUUGAGCUAAUUUCCCAAAGAGCUCCUGUUUCUCCCCAUCAUGCUCUUUGCACUAUUUCCCCACGAUAAAAUUAAAAUGUAGACCAGCACCAAUAUCUAUUUAUGGAUUUUCAAUGAUUUCUAGGGGGAUCAUUGUAUUUUCCGUGAUGAUGAAAUUGGUAUCUAGCUUUCACUAUUUUCUACACUGACCAAGAGACAGUGAUAAACAGCUAAGUUAUUAUCAUCUGUUGUGUGGAAUUGAGCAAUGGAGAGCAAGAAAACACUGAUUACCCAAAACAUUGUACAAAUCCAAUCAUUUGGGUGAUCAACCACCCUACAAGUUUCACAUGCAUCACAUUCUUUAACCCUAGUUCUACGCGCCCACAACAUCUAAAUUUACUAGUACUAGUACUAAUUAAACAUCUAAAUAUAGCACAUCAGAAGAAAAUUACUAAACCCUAGUCCCAAAUCAUCUAAUCACUCGAAAGCACACCCUAUAGUAAAAUUGUCCUUUAACAAAGAAUUAAUAAUGCCAUAAAAAUCACCCUCACUUCCAACCUACCACACCCCCCCUCUUCCUCCCCACAACCCCCCCCCCCCCCAAAACACCACAAAUGAAAAGGAGGGAAAAAAAAAAAAAAAAAAAAGAGGAGCCCAACAAGCAAGACCUCCUCGUAGGAGGGCAUUCUCGUAACUUCACACCAGUUGAAGUGCAGAAUGGGAUUAUAGGAUUAGAAAAUAUCCAAAAGACAAGUGCAAUCCCUUGGGUCCCCAAGUGUUCUAGGGUCGUGUUCCCAAUUUUACACUCCUUGGGAUGUCCGCAACCAUCUCUCUCUCUCUCAUUAUUCUUUAUCUAUCCUUAUUUCUUACUUCCCACAACAAAACUUUAAACCCUUUUAAACUUGUAUAAAUACCCCUCCACACAUGCAACAUCCCCCUGAAACUCCUCAAGGCUUAAUCCAACAUCGUUCCAUUUUUCCAUUCUAUCCCCUUCCUUAAUUGCUCCUAGCUGUCUCAUUUUCACCUCCAAACCUUAACCCUUUCUUUCUUCUUCUUCUUUUUUUUUUUUUUUUUCCCUCUCUCUCUCUCCAUCUCAUCUUUGUCUCUUUUAUCCAAGCAUAUAUACUCUGUAUUUGAGUUGUAUGGCAGAGCUAGAAUAUCAAAGUAAACCUAGUAAUAAUGGACGUUUAAAACUCUUUGGUUUCAACGUGACAGAUGAAGAAGAGGUGGAUUCAACUAAAACACCAUCAGGGUCACCGGAUUCCGGGGGUUUUCCGGCCUCCGACGGCCGGAAGUACGAGUGUCAAUAUUGUUGCCGGGAGUUUGCCAACUCACAAGCUCUAGGGGGCCAUCAAAACGCUCAUAAGAAGGAAAGGCAACAGUUGAAACGCGCGCAAAUGCAAGCAAGCCGAAACGCUGCUGUUUCAUACAUGCGAAACCCGAUAGUGUCCGCCUUUGCCCCGCCGCCUCACCUCCUUGCUCCGGCUGGUUCCGUGGUGGUACCCGCUGCUGCUCCAGCAUCUCCUUCGUGGGUUUAUGUUCCACGCGCCGCCCCACCCUUCCACGUGUCCCACGGCUGCGUGUUUCCGGCUUCCACGACUGGGAGAGGUGUAGGGAGCGCAUCGUAUGCUGGCAGUGUAGGAGAUUCUAGCUUGACGAGCGUAGGGCCUCAACAAGUCAAGGCCCACAAUGGCAGGCAUGAUGGGCCCUCGUUGAGUAGGUUCUCUAGAGCAGAUGAUGGGCCCGGUUUUGAUGAAGCAUUUGGGUUGGAUUUGCAUCUGAGUCUCGCUCCAGCCGCGCCGUAAAUUUUAGGCUUGACCUGGCUCAAUUGCCUGAGGUUGGCAUUAUAUUCAGCUAGAUGACUUGGUUGGGUCAUCGGUCGAGCUUGGCUUGGUUCGGCUCGCUAAUUUGGAAAAAGCUCAUGUUAAUUUAUCUCGAGCCAAAUCCUGUAAAUUUUCAGAUUUAUUUAUUUAUUUUUUUUUUCUCAGGGAAAAUUUUUCUUGCUUGUUUUGCUGAAUUACUAGUUUCUCCUUCCAAGAUCUACUUUGGUUUGUAACCAAUGUUGUACGUGCAUGUAAAUAUGUUUUCCAAUGAGAAGUAGGGUACAAUUUUUCACAACAAAUAUAGCCCAGGAACUAAAUAUGAUUGCAUAAACAUUGCCUAACUUGAUUAUCUUCAUAUUCAAAAUGGUUUUUAUUUUUUAUUAAUUUAUUUUAAGUGUACGUGAAAGGUUUUGAACUCGGCACCUCUUACUUAUACUCUCUUCUCAAUACCAUCUAACGGUCCCUCGCAGGUGUAAAAUAGUAUGAUUCCUUGUACUUGAGUAACCGCUAUAUUUUAAUAGUUCUACGAUUGCAGAAUAAAAUGAAUUCUGGAGCUCAACUGUAGAUAAGGUGCCAUGAGUCUUUAGUGUUAGCUAGGUUAACUACCGGAUUAUUAAAACCAUAUUUCUGGUUAAGUAUUUUCUUAGGAUAAAAUAAUCCAAGAUCACUAUAUAUGUUAGCAAACACGAAGACAAAAAUCUUGUUAGAUUUCGCCAUUGAAUUUGAGUUUUCUACUCUUUUUUUAUUUUUAUUUUUGAGGUCUUCAUGCUUGGUUUCUCCAUCUCAUUAUACAACUUUAAGCUCCUUCGAAACUAGGAUUAUUCAUCUAAAUCCAACCUAAUCGCUUGUCUUCCCUUCUAUUGUAACCCCAUCAUUUUCAUGGAUGAAAUACCUAAUCUCCUUCCGCUUUGUUGUUUUGCAUUUGAUUAAGUAGUUCGAUUCUGGAGGGGUUUGGUACUUAAUUAAUUGAUCUUUCUUUGAGAGAAGCAUAUACAAAUUAUAACACUAACUAAAAGGACUAGGUCAAAUACGUUGUUUAAUACUGCUUAAUCCUUCCACGUGGAAAUUUGAAACUACAGCAAUUAUAUUAGGUAUUAGACUAUUAAUUACAAGAGCAUCGCUUCUAAGCUUUCAAUGGAAUCCGGAAUUCCUUCUACAGGUUUGCCAUUUCCCGAGUUGCAGGUAAUUAUAAAACACCCAACAAAGUACUUGAUAGUUCUUGUAUAAAUUAUCAUGGCCUUCAACGUGACAAUGUUUUCUUCAAGGCGUUUGAUUAUGUAUGACUGCUUAUAAAAUAAUCAAGUUGCCAUCGAGUUUAGAUCAUUGAUAUCGAUAUCUUCAUUAAUUAAGCUAUUUAGGUGAUUAGUUUUUGAGGAAACUAAAAUAAGCCAUGUUAAGAACCUUCUCUUUUUCUCGCAUUAAAACGAAGGUCAAUUCUCAUUGGUCCCCGUCUCCUCUUACUGCACCUUGUAUCCCUCCCUCCAUGGAAAAUCCCACAAAAGACAAAAAGAAAGAUAUCCCGAUUCUCUCAAUUGGCAGUUUCAUAUAAGAUGCAUUGUAAUUAAAAGGACGUGGAAUUGUUUCAACAGUUUAGACAAUUUUAUGUCUUUGUACAAUUUAGUCAGAACCACGUUACGGGUGAGAAUUUGAUCCAAAUUUGAGUGGCCAGCAAGAUUAUCAUCGAAAUCAAAGGGUAGAUAGGAAACAGAAAGGACUAAAUAGAGUUAGUCCUUUGAUGGCAAGUUUUGGUUUUAGAGUAGCCAAGAAGCGUACUGCUUGCCUUGGCUAGAGGGAAGAAAACAAAAACAAAAAAAAAAAAAAAAGAAGAAGAAGAAAAGUGGAUUGCAAUCAACCAAAGGUAAACUUGAAAAGAAAAAACUUGUCAAGAAAUUAUUGGAGGUUUUAACUAUAAAAUAAGUUUGCUUGAAAGUUAGAUGUAGUGCUUCAAAAUCCCAGUCCUAUGAACGCUUGACUAAUUUCUUGAUAGGUUUGUCUAAUUCCAUGCAUCAUGCCACUCUUUGUAAUCGAGUACUUUUUCAUGUAUACAUCUAUUUCAUGGUCCCGCACCGAAUUUCACUAGGGCUUUAAGAUUAGGAUCCUGAUUGGUUGAGCAGAUGAAACCCGCCAAGUUUCCGAGUCAAAUAGUACAAUAUAUCGUCCUUUAUUGUCCUCAAUCAAACACUUAAACUAUAGUGCAAAAUUCAAGGCUUAAUGGAUAGCUUUCGAAAGCAAAAGCCAUCCAGCUGGUAAGUACCAAAAAGGGGAGGAUUUGAGGAUUUGUUAGGAAAUUACAUGGGAUGAAUUGAGGGGAACAGCGAAACAAUAAUACUAUUGGCUUCUCUUGAAGUGGUGAGUAGAUGAUCUUACGUAGGAGUCAACAACCAAUGGCUUUUGCGUUUAAGGAAGCUUGCGUGUAAGCACGAAAACAAGAUAAUGCAUGCCAAGCCAAAGCCAAAGCCAAAGCCAAAGCCAACAGCCACACAGAGCCAAACCCCCAAUUAAAGCACCAAAUGCUUCAUCUUCAAGUUGCCCACAAUCAUAAAAUAACUCAAAAAUUGGUCAAAAAGGAGGUUGCAUUAAUGUGUCCGCACCUUCAAGACGACAGCCUCUUUUCGGUGCAAAGUGCAGCUUAGAAUUUUGUUUGUGAUUUUGAUUUUUGUCUUCAAUUGAUGGUCGGCGGUCACAUAAUGCACAGAUAAAUGAGUUCAUCAUGUCUCUCUCCAUUUUUUUUCCAAGUAUGGUGGCUUCUGUGUUCUUUCCAUGAUACAUAGUGCAUGUGUUUACAUACGACAUUUGGUCGUCGUUUCACGUUUGCAUGAUGAUGAUGAAAAUUAAGGUUGCUGGCACAUAUAAUUUAGAUUAUAUGCAUGUAGGAAUUUCUAUCUCACACACACUAAACACUAAUUAUUUUAGAUUAGGAUAUACGUCUGAGAUUAAAACACUCUUUUAUGGAAAUAUAUCGUGCAUUGUCAUAAUAGACAAAUCAAAAUUUGAAACGGAUCCUGAUCUGAAAACUAUGUGGUACCCAUAAUGCCGAUAUGGUUGGUUCAAUUAUUAAGAUAAAGACGAUGUCUCAAAAUAUGUUUAAGCGUCUAAUUAAUGCGAAAGUUUGGGAGUGCCCAUAUCACUAAUACGCUUCAAUUAUAAUGAUAGAGCAUCUAAAAGCUAGUUAAUGUGGGGACUAAUCAAAAUAGGGGAGUACUAGUUUGGAUUGGAUGCUUUUCUUGUCUUUUUGACAUUUUGGAGACACUAGAAAGGAGUGAUCUAAGAAAGAUAUAUAUAUAUAUAUAUAUUCUAUAUAUAUAUAUACGUGGGAUUUCUUGCAUUUCUACAAAGCAUAAUAAUGAUGGAAUGAAAACCUGCGCACUUGCAAAAGCUUUCUUCUUCUUAGAUCCUUUUGACAUUACUACAAAAUGAAGAUUUAAAAGUGGUUGGCGAGACAAAACAGAGAAAAUAAGUCCCAUUUCCCACAACUUUGCCAAAUCAAAACGUACUAGCUGUUGUUUUGGGGCCCCAUAGCUUCCUUCAUCAGUGCAUUUGAACUGAUGUAGACUGCCACUUUCAUUUAAUCAAUCAAAACCAACUCUCUUUCCAAUAACUUUGUCAUAGGUGGGACUUAGGAGUCACCUUCCAAUCAAGUUUCAAGGUACAUAUAUAGAAGUUUAAGUUAGAGGCAGGGCACAAAUCAUCCAUCCUAUAUGCCGACAGUGUUUUCUCUUAGGGUGAGGGUUUGUGAGGCUCCGUCCUGUAGUCCUGAGAUUCGGCCACCAAUUAAUAUAUACCCUCAUAGUUUAAUGAUUCACGGCCCGAAUUCAUUGUACAUCAAACCAAAGUAGGUAUACAUCACGAGAAAACUAAAGGCACGUUGAUAUAUUAAUUUGAGCUGUAAAAGAUAUUGAUGUGAACGAAUUGUCAAACACUAGCAACAAUCUACACUUGAGAAUAGUGAGGCCUUAAUCAGUAUAUGUGAUGUCUAAUCUCUGAUGAUGUUUACUUAAAAGCCACCUACCUCCGUUUAAGUGAGGCAGUCUGUUGAUUUGAUGAAUGCUUUGGCAUACAUCCUUAGCCAAAUGGGCAAAUCGUCACCCAUUUUUCACACAAUAUCAUUAUGCAUGUCCGGUAAUUAGUGCCUUUAACCUUGCCAAGAAUUUAAUCAGAACUCCUGAUCACAUGCCUUGUUCCACCCAUGUCCGAUUCAUUUCCUUCCUCGGAAUAAUUCAAAUCGGACUGAACUGAUACGAUCCGAUUUAGUCAAUUAACAGCAUUUUUAAGAUACAGAAAUACCAAUCUAUGCCAAGUUAAUAUGCAGCUUAACUAUGUCUAUGCCAACUAGUUGAUCUAGAAGGCGCAGGCAUGAGAUAUACCCUAAUAUGAUUUGCUUUUUUCUUUUCUAGAGUUAAGUCAAGAUCAGUUUGCCCUAAAAGUUCUGGUUCUGUCAGUGACCAAUCAAGUCUCAUUUCUGGCGUAAAUUUUGCCAUUAGUGAUGAAUAAGAUUCCCAAAGGUGAGUGGUUGACGAGCUCCCCUUCUUAGCUAUCAUCCAUUACGCAUUUGCUGUCUCCUUUAAGUCUUCUAAUCUGUAGAGGAUAAAUCAAACCGAAUGACAAGGGCUUAACAAUUAAUAACGAAAGAUGCGAUUCCUCAUGUGUCCUGCUCACAACUCCAUCUACUAGUUGUUUAAACGGCUACUGAUUGUUAAUUGCUUGAGAGGAUUGAUGACUAUUAAACCCCACAUGAACACCAAUGGUAUUCUAUGAAACCAAGUGCAAGUGGGGGCUACAGAUGGUGCCAAAUCUAAAUUCUACAUAACUUUCCAAGCUAUAAAUAACUUCAAUGCCUGAAUUUUUAGGUUUGUAUUCUAUGAGAGAAUUUAGUCGUAGGUUAGGACAUGACUGUCAAGCCAAAUUCAAUAGUGUAUAGGAACAUGGAACAUAUGUAUCUCGGCAGUUUCUGUGCAAGAAAUGGAGGCCAUAUUCAGGGUCUGAAGUUUCAGAUGAUCAGGGAUUCAAGGGUACUAGAAAUCUAAUGCAUUUACAAUGGAGAAUGCUCAUUGAUUCAUACUACAAAAUAUCAGCUGGUUUUUAUGAUCCUUGAGUUCGUGAUUAGCCUCAAUUUAACCGCAACCCGGAUUUUUAAUUUUUAAUCUUUUUUUUGAAGAAUUCUUUGAAAAAUAUUGAGCUAAAAUCAUUUCAAAGCAGUUGGAUAUCCUCAUCAAAUAAUUCAGAGUUAUUUUACAAUUAAUGUCAAAUCAUUUUUUAUUUAUCCAAAAACAAUCAAUUUUAAAUUUUUUUUUAAAAAAAAGUUACUAGUCACUCCCAUGACUACCAAACUCUGCAUAGCAAACUUGGAAAACUGAUUGGCCAAGGUUUAAAAUUUACUCCCUGCAUUGCAUUCCUAAUUAUUGGUGCAUGCUGAUUACGUGAUGAUCCUAGAACCAGACGGCAUUGUAACCUCUUGCUUUCUAUAUAUAUAUAUAUAUAUAUAUAUAUAUAUAUAAGAGACAGAAAUUAUGCUUUUAAUGAAAUUAUGAUAUUUUACCUAAGUGAGAUAGAAGCAGAAAAUGCUCCCUUCAUGUGUAGACAAGACUACCAAAUAAGUGAUAUCUUACAUGUACCUGGAAUUACAGCUCAAAAUCAGGUAGUGCACAGACAGCUGCACGGACAUUUACUAUUCAAGAAAAUCACUUUAAUUAUCUGAAAUGUAUAAUAAAUAGUUAGAGUAGGAUAUCUUACCCCUUUACCACAAUAUCUCUUUGAAGAACUUCUAAAAUCUUACCACGUAAUAUGCAGCAAAUAUUCGAAGACUAGAUAACAUUUUGAAAAUAAAAAGUUCUAAUCUCAUUGACAUCAUAGAUUUUAAGAAACACAAUUACAUGCAAAUAACCCCAUUGGCAUUACCAGUUUCCAAUGUAAUCUUUUUUGCUGGCUGGCAAGUUUGCCCGUUUUUAGGCAUCGUUUCUGUCAUUAGGCAACAUGGAGGAUAAGGAAAGCGAUCUAAGACAUAAUGGAAGUCGGAACCAACGUGCAUGACAUUGAACUCCUACCAAAGAGACAAUAAUUGGGGAAAUGUACUUCUUUUUCAGAUGUGUUGUCAAAAUUUUUCGAUUGCUCAAUUGAAGCUGAAAUUCAUUAGAUAGAUUAUGGACAGAUACAAGGAUCGAUCAGCUAGCAUUUCCUAUUGCUUCCACAAGCACCUAUCAAAUCUCAACAUUGAAAUGUAUACUUAACUGCAACAAGGACAAGUCUCCCUCUUUACCUUUUUGAGGUACCAUGCAGCAAUUUCAGUGUUCCUAGCUGGUGAAAUGCUUUUUCAAGUUACAUCUUGAAGGGUUUGUACUGAGUACACGUUGUUGAUGAAGACAUGCAAUCCUCAAUUUAAAAGUGCUUUCAAGUUCAUCAUUAUCAAAACUAGAGACAUGAAGUUUCUUGCAUUUCAGUAAUGACGUAGCACUACUAGCUGAGCCAAGAAUUUCAUAAAAGUGCACCCCCAAAAAAAAAAUUAAUUAAAGAGAAGAAAAUUCUGAAAUCCAAAGGCAAGCAUGAAAUCAAAGCAUUAUAAGAAAUCUUGGUGAAUCCAUGCCCCGGCCUCCCCUAGCUCCUUUGCUCCGACAAUGUACGGACCCAUCUUUUCACAGCUACCAACCAUCAAAAUUUGUUCACACUGAAGUUUACAAAUAUGAAAGCUUUACUUUUACUUGUCCAAAAGCAAACAUUCAAGCAUGCAUGCAUUCUUCUAAUACGAAUUAAUUUACUUUUGUGCCAAUUUGUCUAUGCGUUCGAUCUUCAAGUAAACUCAGAUUUUGUCUUAUGCUGUACUCUUUCCUUUUCCAUUCCCCUGGGAUUAUCUCAAUCAAGGGCAAGAUGGCACAAAACAGUUCUAUGAAUAAGUCAAAAUUUUACUUUAUCUUCAAACAGCAUAUGACGGUCAUUUCCACACACGUGAUGCAUGAUUCAAUUAUCCCACAUUUGCCAACAGUUAUAUUGUUCCAAUAAUCCCAUUGUGGAUAUCAAUGCUUAUGAAAAUUCAAAAAGGAGAAAAGACAAUAGGAGAACCAAAAUUGCCUUUUUUUUUUUUUCCGCCUGCAAUACUAGUUGGAAUACCACUUUCAGUUCACACAAUCGUCAGAACCAUGUCUUGCUAGGAAGAAAUCUAUAAAAUAGCCGUAUCCCCUGAUUUUGGAGUUUUCGAAAAAAAAAAUAUACUAUAGCGAUUCGACGUAUGUAGGAUAACAAGAUGAUUGGAAAAUAUGUUCACAAAAAACAGAGAAAUUUUUUUGAAACUUCAGAUCCACAUAAUAAAAGGGAAGAGGAAAAAAAAGGUAUAAAAAAUAUUCAAAAUAUAAGCUGUUCGAAAGGGUGAACUUUUGAUUAAGUUGUGGCCUUGUGGGGAAGCCUAUAAAUAGACAAAAGUAGCAUCAGCUAACAACAAUGAACUCAUGAAUAAUGUAAAGAAAAUAUUAGGCGGGACAGUGAAUCUGUGAGACGAUGACAUAUCCCCUGGAACUUGAUCUUUCAUGAAAACAUGCAAGUCCCACCAACGAUAUUCAUGUCCUUAAGCCAGUUGGUUUGUGGCUCAGGUCAGAUCUCAGCAUUCCCUCUGUCAAGCCGAUGCCAAGCCGAAAUGAGACCAGCGGACUCAAAAGCUGAGGCCCAGCAGUAAGAUACAUUGGUGCCUGGUCUCGAAGGCUUAAGCCCGACAGCAGGAUACGUUAAGUACAAUGUAGGUAAGUAUACUCAGUCUGUAGACCGUGUACACCCUUAAUUAAAAAAAAAACAAAACAAAAUAACUAAAAUUGGACAACUAAAUUUUUUUUUUUUUUUUUUUAAGGAAUUGAACAUAUAAUUAAGAUCGGCAACCAAGGUCAAAAAGGAUUCGAGUAUAGAUAUUAGUACAGCAAUGUGGGGUUGGGCUGAUACAGAUGUUACCAUCAUAUCUUCUAAAGGACAUAGUUCUACUCUCCAUCACAACAACCAAAAGUAAGCAGCUUUACACGGCUUUCUUGAGAUAUGUUGAAGAAAAAUGUCGAAUACUAGUAUAAAAUUUGUAAAAAAAAUCUGUUUUUUGCUAUUCAAUUGGAACAACAGGAUUUUCUUCUCGGUCAUUGGGCUGGAUCAACAACAUUUGCUUGUUGUACUGGCACGCAAGGCCUCCAAACGGUUUCUUUCCCCAGAUCCAUUAAAGCUAUACCCUUAACAGCCAAAUCACUCCUAAUCUGAUCACUCAAAGAAUAAUCUUUAUUUUUCCUUGCUUGAGCUCUUUCUUCAAUUGAGUGCAAAAUAUCAUCUUCUGUCAGCUUAGCUCUCGUCAAUGCUUUCUCCUUCAAUUGUGAUAAUACCUGUCCAUUAGAUAGAAAAAGCCAGGUCAGAAUAUUCAUCAGAGUAAAGACUGCUUGACAACCACCAGAGUGAAUCAUAAAUCACCUCAGAAUAUGUCAACCUCGGAAGCAAUCCCAGGAGAUCCAAAACGUCCUUCACUUCUCUCUCUAAUUCAAUCAGAGAGAGUACAGUUGUUUGCUGCUCCUGUUGCUGUUGCCGUUGCUUCUUUUUCUGUGGCUUUUUCUGGAAAUCAUUAACGGAAACAAACACUUCAGCAAGACACCAAGAUGCACAGAAUUGAGGUGACGAUUGAAAUCUAUACCCUAAGUGUCUCUACAGAAGCAUUAAUGAAUCUCAAGGCUUCUAUUAGAGCAGCACUCAAAAUGGUAGACGUGUGCAAAUCAUCUGACAUUCUUGUCAAAAUUUCGUCAUGAAGAUUCUUGAUGCAAUUUUUGGCUUUUGUGCUGAUGGAAGCUUUUGCGUCAUCAAUUUCAUCUUUUCCACGAAAUUCUGUGAGAGCGUCUUCAGCAUCCUUUAGAGUCUACAAUUGCAAAAGGCACCAACAUUUUCAUCUAUUCAUCAAUCUUGGUAAGUUCAUUCAUGUGUAAAGUAUUUAUAUUUCUAGUUUUUGCAUCUGUAUGAAUAUUUUUACCACACAGUGAAAUGCAAUCUAGAUAAUCAAGAGCAAAAGCCCAACUGCAUCUGUGUUUCAGGCUUUGAAAGAUCAAACAGACAGGCAACUAUUAAGCUGGUCUUCAGUUACCAGCACAAGAAAGUCAGAAAAUCUUAAAUGAACAUAAAAUUUUCUCUACCUGAAAUAUGUAGUAAACAGCAUCUGAUGCAAUUUCUAUCUGCAAUAUUGAGUAAUUAACAGGAGAACGGUAGUGCAUUCCCAAUAAGAAAUGUCGCAGUGCAAGUGGAUGGUACAGCUUCGUGACCUGCCAAAGAGAAAAAAGCAUGAUAUUAUAAUUCCAUAAUAGCAAUGAGAGACAACAACUAAAAAAAGAAGCUCCAACUCUAACCUCUCGAAUGGUGAAGAAGUUCCCAAGCGAUUUCGACAUUUUCUCAUCAUCUACAGUAACAAACCCAUUAUGCAGCCAGUAAGUGACAUUGCUCUCUGAGCAAGCAGCACAACUUUGCGCAAUUUCAUUUUCAUGAUGAGGGAAAAUCAAAUCCAUCCCACCACCAUGAAUAUCAAAAGUGUGUGUCAGAUAAUGAGCACUCAUGGCACUGCAUUCAAUAUGCCAUCCAGGCCUUCCAGGACCCCAUGGGCUGUCCCAACUUGGCUCCCCAGGUUUUGCGGCCUGCAUAUAUACAAAGCUAAGAUCAACAAGCCUUGUGCAUCUCAGAUGGCAAUAUUGUGGUAUUAACUUUCAAAUGCUUGUCCAAAUAUAAGAGAUUUUAGUCUAAAUCUCGUUGUUGGAGCACAGUUUAUCUGGUCUGCAUAAAAUGGUGUUAUGUGAGCUUUUCCACCUUUUGUUGUGAAGGGAGAACAUCAAAGAGUUAAAAAAAAAAAUUGAUACAGAAAUAACAUCUCCUUCUCAAACAACUCUCACCUUCCACAAGGCAAAGUCAGCUGGGUUACGCUUUCUUGAAUCAACAGCAACCCGUUCCCCAGCUCUAUUACCAUCUAAAUUUUGUCCUGAUAGCCGCCCGUAGUCAGGGAAUUUGUCAAUAGAGAAAUAUACAUCACCAUCAACUGCAUAAGCACACCCAUUGCUAAUGAUCUGCAUAACACAAAAAGUACAUAUUCAUAACCGAAGAAGAAAAAUAGGCUCCAUAUGCCAAGAAAAAGAGACACGCCGAUACAGUAAUCUAAUCAGUAUUUUGCAUUGAUCAAUCUAUUAAUGUACAUUACAUGUUAAUUUAAAAAUCCAAAACCACAACUCCUGAUUUUCCAAACCUCUCCAAUUGCACGAACACUCUUAAGAUGGAGAACCUAUGUGGCAUAUGGCAGGAGGUUAUGGGAAUCAACAAUUGGAAUUAAGUCUAUACUUAGUGGUUGGAUGAAAGGUAUGGGGUUUAAAAUGUAAAAAUUUGGGAACUCUCAAAACCCAACAGAUUGGAAGGUUUUGUGAAUUCCCUUAUUUAAUUCCCAAGAGAUUUAAAUAAACAUUUUUUUUAUUUACUCCAUCUCACCUUUCUUUCUUUCUUUUCUCCUCCACAACAGACCACUCCUACUCCUCCUUUAAUCCCCAUAACCGACCAACCUCCUCUUCCUCCACUCUCCUUCAUCUCUCCCCCCAUAGCCGACCCACCCUAUCCCUCCUCUACUCCCUCUCAACUACUAAUCCUUUUUCUUCAUGGCGCUGUAGGGCACCUUUCUCCGUUCCUUUCCAUGCCUAUAACCAAACACCCUAACCAUUCUCCACUCCUCCCCAUCUGCUAAAUCUUUUCCUUCAUGGCGAUAUAGGCACUGCUCUUCAGUUCCUUUCAAACAAGGGGCUAAGAAUUAUGGAGAAAUUUCUGUUUGCAAAGGACCUCGUCCCUGCUUGCUGCCCGAUCUCUGGCAAAUUUUCUUCUGUUUUGAGGUUAAUAAUCUUUCUAGUGGUGUUGUUGAUUUUUUCUAGAAUACUGGUGGAAUGCGGAGGCAAAAGCGGUGGAAUGAGUGGUUGCAAACCUCCCUCUUCUCUUUGCUCUCACUGGUGAAUCUUGUUGGCAGAUUUUUUUGUUUUAUUUUGGGCAUUUAGGGAUCUGAUCUAAUGACACUGAAGUCCCAACCAUAAUUGCAGGUGUGAAUGGUCAAGAAUGCUUCAAUAAGGUGUAAGAGAGGAAAAGGGAAGACGAAAAUACAAUUUAAAAUGUAAAAACCCAUUCCUCAUAAGAUUUUACUAAACACCUAUUAGCUAAUAAUACCUUUCACCAAAACCCACACUAAAUUUUUAGGAAUGAAUCCAAUUACAAUUCCAAUUCCUAGGAUUGAACCAAACACCCUCCUAGUAAAUACAUGAGAACAAGAAAAGGUAGGAAGAAAACCUUCUGAUUCCAAUUGCUAGUAAAAUGUUCAAAGUUAGAAAUGCAGACGCAAUAGAUGGGCACUCAAUACAUUUAACUAGGCAAUGCCUUGACAUGGUUCAGCAGUCUUAAUCUCCAUACAUAUGAAAAAUUUUGGCAAAAUAACCAUGUAGUGCAGGAACUCACACUAGAUGGGCACUCAAUACAUUUAACUAGGCAAUGCCUUGACAUGGUUCAGCAGUCUUAAUCUCCAUACAUAUGAAAAAUUUUGGCAAAAUAACCAUGUAGUGCAGGAACUCACACUCUCACCAACAUACAAAGGCACCACAACCAUAACGCAAACACAGAUCUCCACAAAUUUUUCAUGAUUCAUAAUAUCCCUUAAAAAUGUAGGAGUGCAAUAAAGAAUCAAAGUACCUGAGAAAUCAUUCUCUUUAUUUCGUCUAUGUGAUCAGACACACGAGGUUGAUGGGUAGGAGGAAGGCAUUGGAGAUCAUCCAUGUCUUUUAGAUACUCUUCACAAAACCGACCACUCAAAGAUAUUGGGUCUUCUCCAUUCUCAUUAGCUCUCUUAAUGAUCUGCAAAAAUCAAUAUGGUAUGAAUUAAGACAGUGUGCAGACAAUUAUGAAGUUGUGGUACAAUACAUCAAGGGGCAAUGCUGCAAUGCAUGUAGAUUGACCAAUAAGGAGUACAUACUCAAAUCCAUCUAGAGCUUCAAAAAAAAACCAAGGACAUGAACGGGUACUUCUCAGCAAAAAGAGCAUUUUAGGUAAUGAAAUUACGGAGCUCCUGAAGAAAGUUCAAUAGGAAAACAAUCUUCUUUAAACAAUCUGUAACACUAAAUGACUGCUUUCUUUGGAUGAAAAGAAAUACAAUGUUGGUCUUAAGAAACUUCAAUAGAUUGAUUAGUUGUUCUUUUCUGUUUAUAACAACACAGGUUUGAGUUGUAGAUAUGACUCUACUAGCCACGCAUGGUGCAACUACACCAACAACAUAGAUGAAUGGAAAACAGCAAAAGUCACACAAAUAACAUGAACAGAAAAUAGUUGCUUCUUGGAUGUCAAACUAUGAAGCAGAGAAUGGUAAUCCAACAGCUUUUAAAAAUUAAUAAUCUGGCAACCUAACUGCUGUGAAGAUGAGGUAAAUAAAGAGUAUUUUGUCUUUCAUUGCGAUUUAAGUUUGGUAAAAAUGGUUUUAACCUUUUACCACUCAACUGUUUGCUAUCUCCUCAGUCUCAUCUUCAAGAUGCAACAUAUGCUGGUAAUUAUUCAUGUACCCUCACAAAGCAGUUUUUCUUUUGUUUUCCAUCUUUGCGCAACUACUAUUAAUAGAUUGUCAUGAAUGAAACUUCUACAAUUCUUUCCUAUAGUUAUUUUUUGCCUUUUGCAAUUAGAGACAUAUUAGGCGUAAUGAUUAUGAAAGAUGGUUCAUACAAAUUAGUUAAUUUACUGGAUCAAAUACGCAUUUCAUCUAUAAAAAAAUCAUAACAUUAAAAAAUGGAACAGCGCACUUGGAUAGAGGGAGGGAUAUGGAGAUGCAGAUGCAAUUGAUGCUCGAAAGUUCAGACAGAAAAUCAAAAGGAUGAGGAUGAAAGUUGGUCUCUUCUCUUACAACUUGGCCAACUAUUUCAAGUAUGCCCGAGAGAGGCAUAUGAGAAGAUAUCAAAGAACAACACCAUAAUAGAACUUAUUCCAAACAUGAUCCCUCCCUAAGAUACUAACAUUUCAUGCACGCAAGGUUCAGUUGCAGCCAUAUGGAAUAAAGUCUUUCAGGUUACCAAGUUAAACCAAGACCAUCCUUGGCAUGCCAGAUUAUCUUGUUAUACAUUUGUGCAAAGGAUAAUCAUACAUAUGCUUCUCAAACCCCAUAUGUUUAAAUAGUCAUCAAACAAAAUCUACAUUAAUGGUCUCGAGAGAAGUAUUAACAGUACACAACAGAAUUAUCUUUUCCACAAAUACUCUGCCAUAACAAACACAAAUGCACAAGUAGUUGAUUUACAAGAAAGAUGAGGUUCUUACCUUGUCAUCAACAUCAGUGAAGUUCCGAACAUAAACAACCUCGUAUCCCAAAUACUUUAGGUACCUAAACAAUUUUGUAUUUAACGAAAAGAAUUACAAGACAAUAGCAACCGAAAACAAUUAUUAACCAUUUUUAUUAGAAUAGACAAAAAAAAGCCUAUACCACAGAUACAAUCUACCAAAAGAAUCGAGAGCAUUCGUGGUUAAAUACCACAAAAAAAUUACAUGAACCAAUCCUAGAGAAGAAAUUACACAUUAAACAUACAAAAAAUAUCUGAUAUGUUUGUCCUAUAUAGACAUAUUAAAUAGGCACAGACAUAUAUAAAAACUACGCGUGCAAAACUACAUGAGUAGGAGUGUAUGAACCGCUAUGUACAAUCAACAACACCAUUACUGAUUUCAAUAUGUUUUUAUUGAUCAUCAGUAGGAUAUCUUCCAACAUCAUACACUAGCAAACUAAAACGUAUAGCAUGCUUAAACCUUAAAAGCCAAAUUAUACCAGUAAAAUUACAAAGCUCAGCAUUGCAAAGAAAUCUGUCUAGAGAAAGGUGUUGCACUCUUGAUUCAUUCAACAGGAGAACUUAAAAAGCAUCUUCUGAGCAAGGACAUGCAGAAAAGCAAUAUUUUUUCUACUUACGAUCCAUAAGACUAACUCUGCAACACUAAUCACUCAGAUAACCUUGGUCCAAUUUACAAUUCCCAAAAUUAACAAUUGUAAUCCCCAUCGCCCCUGGAAAGUGGAAGAAAUAUCACCAUUCUUAAUUAGCUACUGAUUAAAGUCUCUAAAAAAGCACUAUUCAGAUGUCUUCUACUUACAGUAGUCAAUCAAAAUGUCAAAUUCAUCUUAUGCUGCUACUCUAAUUACAAUUUAUAUUCAUUCCAAAAUCAGCAGGUCAGACUACUAAAUGUAGAUAGCACUCAAUAUUCAUCAAUUGCAAUCACAAGCUAAAUUCGAAGAAGGGAUUCAUAUCAAAACGAAAAUUAAACCUGUAGAGAACAUCAAACGCCACGUAGGCGCGUGCGUGGCCAAUGUGGCUGUAGUCGUACGCGGUCACGCCACAAACAUACAUUCCUACUUUGCCUUCUUCUUUCGGCCGGAAAACCUCCUUUUGCUUCGACAUACUAUUAUACAACUGAAACUCCGGCUUCUUAUCCGCCGCCUUCUUCCCCUCCGGCUUCUUCUUCUCCUCCACUAUCUUCUCCGCCAUAGGAGUUCCGAUUCCUAAUCGCUUCGAUUAACAAUCGAUCAAUUUCGAACACUCAAAAGACCUCAGCCUAGCAAUCUCGCCAGCUCAAUAUACCUAUAUGUGGACUUUCUGCAUGUAACCGUCUAAAAGGGAAUUUGUCUGUGUAACUGCGUGGGGAAAACUGGCCGCAACCCUAAGCAAGAAAAGGUUCAACGAUCUCGGCCGUUGGAUUGUCCAUCUAUAAACGGACCCAGAAGCGUUAAAAGAUCGCCAUCGUUGAUUUUGCGUUUAUUCUUUAUGCCCGAACCAACCGAUUGUCCAUAUAUGGAAAUAGGCAAAGGAUGUGGAAAUGAGAAACCAAAGAAAGUAUUCUGCAUUGGUCAAAGAAUGUGGAAAUGGGUCAUACUACUUUUCAUUUUUCAAGCUUGGAAAGUAUUUUAAGGGGAAAAUGGUCAAUUUUGUCCCUAAAUAUUUUUGCUAGAGUUGAUUCCGUCCCUAAGUUUUAUUUUUAGUCAAUUCGAUACAUAAACUUAAUUCUUGGGUCCAAUUACGGCCCUCUGUAGCGGCGCCACCACUUAAAAAUGAUUUGGUUCUUAAUUUAAUAACUAAAUAGGGGUAUUUUAGGAAAUUUGGAUGUAGGUUGUAAUAAAAACCAAGUAAACCAAAAAAAUUUAUUAAUUUUUGGGAUAUUUUUAAAUUUUAAAAGUUUUUGGGGGUAUUUUUAAAAUUUUUAAUCAGCUUCCAACCCCUUUCUCUACCUUAUCCUCUCUCUUCUCCUCUGCCACCCCUUUCCUCGGUCAAUCCAGCCACCGUUCCACCUCCUUCGACACCGCUACUUGCCACUACCUUUUCCACUCCUUCAUAACUUUUCUCACUCCACCACCAAACUCCAUCUCACCACCCACUUGCUCCUUCUUCCCCCCCAUUUUUUUUCCACUUCUACCUCCUCUCCUUUUCUCCCAUGUAUCCCUUUCACUAGCAUUCCUCUCCCGCUACUCCUUUUCCUUCAUUUUCCCCAUUACUUGUACCUCCCCCCCUCCUCCCCUCCCCAAAAGGAGAUCUAGUCCUAUAAACAAUCCGAAUAAAGCCCUUUCUAAAUCAUUCUUGACCAUCUCAUCAUCGCAAGAAAGAAUUUGCAAUAAGAAGAAAACUCUAGCAUCCAAUAACUAUCGCCAUUUUGUUGCUACAAAGGUGAUCACCACUAGCAUUGAACGUAAUAACAGAGGGUGAAACCCUAAUGGACUUCAUGGUUUUGAAUAUCUUUAGGGAUUCUUUAAAGAGCCCAGUUUCGCCAAAGGCGCAAAUCAAACAGUUAAAGUGCUUAUCCUCCAGUUGGACAACCCCAUUAGACUUUCCCAGAAUGGAUAAGAGAAAGUUCCGAGCGGAGUUGCAGUUUCUUGCUUGGCAAAAGAGCUCAAGCAUGAGGAAGUAGGAUUGAGGAAUGUGGGUGAAUCUUGAUUUGUAAGCCCAGUGGAAGAAAUAGAGGGCUUUGGCAGGGGUUGUGAUGAGGCGGAGAGUUUGAAGGACAGUGGUUUGGGAAAGUGAGAAUUGGGAGAGUAAGGCUUGAAAAUUGGUUAACCAGGGUCUGGCAUUAAUUAGUCUGGCCAUGGUUCAGGCUCUUUUAGUUUUGGUAGAUAAUGAUUUUGAUUUGAAUACCUCGGCAUGACCAUUGUCGGGAUUGCUUCUACUAGCUGUAGUUUUGUGAUUGCUAUUUUUGGCUGCAGUUUCUAGUUAAGAUGAAUGGUGUUUGAUAAAUGGUGAAUGAGGUGGACGUGGUGCUUUGCAGUUGUAGAAUGUUUGGGUUCUUGGACUCAAAUUGGCGGCCAUGUUGAAAUGUGUUGGGCGGGCGGCUGCUGGCGCCAGGCGGGUGUAUUAUAGGGGAGGAGGAGAAAAGGAGAAGGAGAAAGGUGGGGGAGGGUGGAGUUUGAUAGUUAAUGGAGAAGAUUGCCUUUCAUGGUGGAAGAAGGACAGUACACAAAGUUUACAAAAUGCCCUUGUUUAAUUAUUAAAUUAAGAGCCAAAUCGCUUCUAUGUGGUGGCGCCGCCGCAGAGGGCCUUAAUUGGACCCAAAAAUUAAGUUUGUGUAUCAAAUUGGCUAAAAAUAAAACUUAGGGACUAAAUCAGCUCUAGUAAAAAUUUUUGGGGACGAAAUUGGCCAUUUUCCCUUAAGUAAGUGGGCUAAGCACUAUUGUUUCUCAUUCAAGAAGCGAGCCUGCCUAGAAAGGAGCCACAAAUGCUGAUUUGGGCUUCGUGUAGGACAAAGGCUACUUGAUUAUGCUGCCCGGUCUCCUUCGUGUACAGCAGAUACAAUGGCACUAAACUAAACAAAUCUACAUUAGAUUCAGUUGUAUAACACUCAAAUCCAAAACAAUACACUGGUAGUUGCCUUCAGUUAGUGGGUCUGACGGAUGCCUUCUCUUCCUUCCUUUUCUUUUUUACUAGUAGAAUUCAGAGAGUUUAUUUCUCUUUUUUAGAUUUAUUCAACGGCUUUUUUUUAGAAUACCGGUAGUUUUUUUUUUUUUUUUUUGUGAUCAGGAAUGUGCUCCAACUCGAACGACUUUGGACUCAAGCCAAUACAUCAAACCAGAGGAUAUGCUGUGGCCCCACACGAUGCAUUUGAGGUAAGUCACAAGUGUUCAAAUCAAGAAUUAGAUUCAAAUUCAUGACUAAAAGAAUAAUAAGAGUUUGCUUACCACUGGACUACCUCCCAUGGGGGCAAGAAUACACGUAGUUGUCUUCAAUCUUUGAGGACAAUGACAGUAAUCUGGUUUUCUUCAGACAAUAAUGGUGUAAAAUGACCAACUAAUGUCUCAUCAUAUGCGUACAUCGACUCCAACAAAUGAAGAGAUAAGUAGUGAUAAUGGUGUCAUUUAUCUUGGAUAAAUAACUGGUGGAGUAAAAACCUGAGUGCUAAUGAAUUCAACAAAAUCCUUACUAGUAACAAUGAAAAUAAAAAUCCAUAACUACCACAUCCAUUCACAUUUGAAGAGCUGAUGAACUAUGUAAAAAGUGUAAUUCAACAAGCUUGCGAUUUGAACUAGUUGCAGUUUGUACCGGUUAAGGACUGGAUACUAACCCUAUAGGUUUUGUUGCAUUUUCAAUGAAUUUUAAAUUGACUACAGUUCUCUAUUAAGAAAUUCUUUGGCAAUACAUUUGACCGGACAGGAAAAAAAAAAAUUUCGUCCAGUCACAAAACAAAAAUUCAUAAGGAGAUUCAAUAAAAAUUACGAACAAAACUUUGCAAAAAGAAUUGUGAUCAUGAUCUAGAAACAAAAAGAUGACAACAUUUUUGCAGCUCUCUCGUGUAUUCAGCAAUCAUCAUCUAGCAUUAAUGGAUUGAACUGCAUGAGUAAUUCUUGCCUCUGAAUUCUCAUCUCCUCAUAGAACCUUUCAAUAAACUUCUCAGCCCUUUCAUCAAUUGAGCACUCAUCAUCUUCCCCACUUAACUCUGAUUGUUUCAAAUAAAUCUUUUGCAAUAGUAUCCUCAAUAGCAGGCAAAACCUUCGACCCCAAUGGAAAGCUCCUGUAUUCCUUUUCUGCCUCGUUCAUACCUAAGCAUUUUCCAAUGAAUAAAAUGGAGUACAAAUCUUUAUAUCUCCUCUUGUUGAUUGGCUUUCUGCAGUUGUACCGCAGGAAUGGACUAUUUGAAGGGGAGAGCUGAUACUCCUGAGCGUACCCACACUUGUAAUGCCUGAGAAGCAUGAAUUUCUUGAUUUUUCUUGACUUUUUGAGUGAAAUAAUUCUUGGAAUAUUGAUGGAUUUCCUCAUUCUGGUGAUAAAAAUAUGGACUCUUAGGAGCCUUGAUACUUUCUGCAAAAAGGCUGAUGAUGAUUUUAGUUUCUUGGGCAUUUUUUGUAGCAGGAACUGUUGUAUUCCGAGAAUAUGGCUAGUUUUAAGGUUUUUUUUUUAUAGGGUUUCAUUGGGCAAGCUUGAGGUUUUUAUAGUUUAAUUAGUGCAAAAAGUUAUACGGGAUUAAUGGGAUUCUUAGAAAGAUCUAAAGAUGGUGGUGGGGAGCUAGGUAACUGGGAAAAGGUAGAUGGUCGGUUUUACUUUGUACCUAUUCUAUAUGGGGCAUCACCAAGUAGCCGUUGAAGUCGAUGCCCCGCUCUAAUUCUAAGCUUCAAAAUUUUGUAUGACUAUUUUAAUGGUUUUAAGAAUAUUUGAUUCCUUUUUUUGCCAUUUCAUAAGCCAUCAAAAUAUAGCUGUUUGUUGCUCCUUAUGCACAUUGGGUAGUAGCUUGAUAUUGCACGUCUUUGUUGGUUCUAGUUAAAUUAUUCAAUAUCCUUAUAAAGGGGGUUUGAAUUUCACCAGCAUGUAUAGGAGUUUUUUGAAAAUGUGAAAUGUUGUGUAGUUUUUUAAAGGUUUUUUAUUUAACUGACGGCAGCAUAUGUUUAGAUAUAUUUAUCGAAAUGCCCUUAUUUUGGUAUAUUUAAAGCUUUAAUUUGUGGAGACAUCUGGGUAUUCCUGAAAUAUGAAAUUAUUUUACAACCGUUUUUGCAUCGAAUACAACUCAUAUAAGCUUAUGUGUUAGUAUAAUUACUGAAAUAGUAUUAUAGACACAUUUAAUUGAAGUAUGGCUUUUGUUGUACAAUUAACACAAAAACAUAUUAACAUAUUAUGCAAUUAACACAUUACUAUAACUAACUGUUGAAGGAUAUCCCUUUGUUUGAAAUAACUUAUGUCAGCUCUUAAGCGAUUUUCAACUGACAUCUGUAUGGACCUUUUGGGAAUGAUAAAAUUAUAAAAGCAUUGAUAAAGUAAAGUUUACAAAUGUGUGCUGCAAUAAGAAUGUAUUAUUUUUAGUUUUGUCAUAUUUGAUGACUAUUUCUUUCCAGAAUGUACUGUUAUUUGUCCAAUGAAAAAUCCUCUCUAAUCAUAGGCGCCAAACACUUGCGCGACGCACAAACACUGCCCUGAGUCUUGUGCAGAUGGAGAAGUUAUAACCUACAAAGAGAUUGAAUUAAUAAAUGCAUUGGGUACAUUGUAACUAUUGUCUCACAGAUAGAUUUUUAAUUACUAAAGUUUUUAGAUUGGAAAUACAUUGCAAUUAAAGUUUGGGUAAAUUAAAUUUUUACUCUUCUGAUUAAGCCUUUAGUUUCAUAAUUCCUUAUGAUUUUACAUUGCUUUCCAUGUUUCAUAGUUAAAACCAAGAAAUUUUUUAUUCUUUAACAACAGAAUGGUCUUACAUAAGCUUUCUUUCAUUCAUGUUCUCCGCUCCUACACAUGUAAAGGAAAGUGAAGAGGGGAAUGAUAGAAAAGCUGAACGAAAUUGGUUUUUCCUCUUUAAUCAAUUAAGUUUUCAAUGUUGAAAGUUUGAUAUCUUAAGUGAAAGCUUACAUUUAUGCUCUUGUUCCAGUGUUUUACUUUCAAUUGGCUUUCUUUUGAGCUAAUAAAUUGACUACUCAGAACAAAAACUUCGUUGGUAUUAUUGUUUGCUUUACCCCAUUGGAAGUUGUCAAAGUUCCAAAGAAUAGGCUUAGGAGAUAACAAACUUGAAGGGUUUUAUCCCAAAUGGUUUUUUGGUAUUUGCUCAAUUAUGGAAAAUGGUUUUUUACAUCUUCAAAGGGGAAGCAGAUACUCUGCAUUAGGGUUCCUUCAACUUUCAGCUAGCAUGACAAACAUUUUCGAAUAGAGGAUUAUUUUUUUAAAAAAAAAAUUGACUAGAAUACCACUAUAACACUCUUUGUGAUGUGAUUGUAAAACAAAAAGAUGGUUAUAAAGAUGAAAGGAAAAAAGGCGAUUGAAAAUGUAUUUAUGAUGUAAUUAAAUAGAUUGUUCACAAUAAUAAGGUGACCAAAGAAAAUCUAUUAACAUCAGUGGACAACUUUUUCUUGAAGGUAUAAAUUUCAAAACAAACAGCAGAAACUACUAGCAGGAUAGACCUUUCAAUUUGUUACUUUCCAUUUUACAAUUUAAUUAUGACAAGUAAUACGCUAAACAAAGGAUUACCAUCACAGAUUUGUAGCUGUCCAAUUUAUACAUUUUUAUUCUGAAUAUUCAAGUCCCUAGUUGAUUGUGCUCCAAGGAGUGUUUCUAAGAUUAUUUGCUUGCUAAAUCUUCCCCCUAUCUGAAGCUCAAUAGCCAAUAUUUUAUGGCUAUACAUUGGGAAUGUGAAAUGAAGUGAUGAUUAUGAAGUGGGGCUUUCUUUCGCUUGAAACAUUCUUUCUUUUUGGGGUCGCUUUCAUUUGAAAUACGUACCCAUUUGUCGAAGAAAUCACUAUUGCUUGUGUUGUUCAGGAAUCCAUGGCUUAGUUAAACAAAACAAAUGCUUUGUAUUCAAAUAAUAUUUUAUCUCUAUUAAGUUUUAAAGUUGUUUCUAUGGAUGGUUUGACCCAAAAACCUAUAUUGAAGUGUAUUUUCUUAUUGUUCAAUAUAUUCCUAUUCGUCCUUCUUUAAUUUCCAUUAAAUCAUGAGAAAAAUGAAGCAAAAAAAAAAGAUAGUUACAUGCUCAUUAGCUCACCUAUUUAUCAGCUUUACCUUGGAAAGAUUUACGAACUGGCACUAUGGAAAAAUUCCAUUCAUUCCAUUUGAAUUUCAAAGGAUUUAUGAAGUUUCGGGAUCGAGAAUGAAAUGGUGCACGAACUUUAUUGGGAAAAUUAGCUAAUGACCCUCCAUGUUUAUGAAGAAUCUUGCUACAGACCUUAUAAGAAUCUUACAAUCACCGGAUGAUUGUAUAGUACAAUCAAGGGUGAAAGAUGGGUUGAUUCUAAUUUGAAGAAAUGAUGUUGAGUUUGAGACACAAAUUUUAAGGUGAGAUAAUAUGUUUUUUUCGCAUGUUAUUACGUUAAGUUCUAUAUUUAUGUGCAUUUCACUAUGCAAUUCAAGCUUACGGGUAUAAAAGCUCCAUAUCCAAAAUUAUAAGUUCCAAUGCUUAACUAGCUAGCUUUAUAUAAGGGGCAUUGAACAUAUUCAAGAAACAAUUUGUCUAACGAGUGUCCAUAUGUUAGGUAUUAGAAUUUUAGAAGUAUAAGAUUAAUUAGGCAAAGCGUAUAAAUAUAGGGGAAUCAUAUAGAAAAAGUGUAUAAAUGUAAGAAAAAAUAGUAAUUGUUAUUGUGUAUAUAUAUAUAUAUGAUAAGCUGAAUCCCUUCAAGAAAUUGAAGGAUUAAUAACAAGUACUAGAGUGCAUGGGAUUAUUAACAAUAAUCAAAUAAAACAAAUAUUUUUUCUAUACAAAAUCAAAUAAAGAUACAUACCUACAGCCUUUCGUUCCUUUUCACUCAUCUUAAUCAUGAACUUUCUUUUCAAAAGAAUGCCGUAUAUCUUGACGAUUUUUGGACAAAAUAGAAAAGAAAGUUUCUGAAACUCAAAAAUUUCAAGCAUGGGCAUGUAACUAAACCUUACCCUGCUUUUGUGGUUUUUUGUGGUAUCAAAUUUGAAAUACUUGGACAAGGAGUUGUUCGAUGAAAUCUGUGUUUGUGGUUCUUUGUGUUAUCAAGCACCUGAACAAGGAGUUGUAACCAUAUAUAAACUGGAGGAGAAAUUAAUGGUUUGUAAGAAUUAGAGGGGGAGGCCUCUGCAAUUUGAAUGAACUAGGGUGGAGGCGACCAACUAAAACUAACAUUUAUUCCAGAAAAUUCUCUAGCUAUAAUUUGAGGCCUUUUUGACAAACAAAAUUUUGGCCAAGUUUGUCUGUUAUAAGUUUUUUAACAACUUUAGUUAAAAUAAUAUCAAAAAAUUUCUCAAAAUUUUUAAACUUUACACUUCAAAAUAUCCAAAAAAUUACACACUUCAAAAAUUUUUCUUAUAACUUCUACAGUAAAUUAUAUAAUAAAGUUUUAGACAGACAUCCAAAAAAACUCAUUUGCCAAAUAGGGCCUUGGUUUUUAACUUUAAUCUGGUCUUGCUAUCAUUAAUUGGAAAGAGACUGUUGAUCAGCUUGAUGCCAAAGAGCUAACUACUAAUCUCUAGUCCAUCUUUGUUUUGCCAUGAAGUAUUAUAUUAUAGUCUUUUCUUUAAUCACCCCUCCUUCUUUUUGAUUCCUGUAGCUAGAAAAAAAAACGGCAAUGUUUUCUUUAAGCAUUAGUUGAGAUCAAAAUAGUUAAUUUACGAGUUUCCAAAUUGUUUUAGGGAAAGUAAAAAUGUUAAAUCACAUAUAGCUACAGAAAGUAAUAUGGAUUGAAUAUAACGAAAAGUACUACCAAUCGAGUAAAAUUUCUCUUAAAUUGCUCAGAGAAACCAAUUCUUCUAAAACACAUGAUGUUGUUUAUAGCAACGAAAUAAGUAUUGGAUAAUGUUUAAAAGGUCAUUCGAUUGAAUUGUUGCCAAAGCUUCUCUUUUUAAUAAUCCUUCUCUAAAGCAUACGUUCAUAAAUCUCUAGUUUUAUUUAAGAUUCAUCUGGAUAGUGUGUUCUUGGAGUAUUUGUUUAAAAUUUUAUUAUAAUUUAUUGUGGUUGUUUUAGAAAAAAAAAAUUAUCCAAAACACCUUAUUUUUCUACAACAUCCCUUUCUCCCUCCCCUACCAGCAACCACCCCCCACCACUGGCAACUUCCACCAUCUACCAUUGCUAUCCACCGAUAGAUUUUUUUGUUGGCAUUUUCUUUUAAAACUUAUGGAUGUUUUAGAAUGUUAAUACAGAUGGUGUUUUACCCAAAUUUUGUCUUUUUAAAACACCAUCUAAAACACGGAUGGCAAACAAACCCUUAAUUUUUCAUAAAAAUUGUUUACUUGCUCAAAUAGAAAAUCAGUACAAAAUAGAUAGUUUAUGUUAAUUUUUUAACAAGAGAUAAUUAUGAAAAAAAAGUUGCAAUUCUUUAGAUUGUAGUUAGAAUCCAUGGUUUUUCAUUUUUCUAUUCAAAGAUGAAUUAGAGAUGAUAUUCACCAAGAGAAGGAAACAAAAAUCUAAAAAUAUUACUUGAGAAGAGGGAAUAUUUUUUUUUUUAAAAAAAGAAGAAUGUAAUUUUGGGAUUUUGCAUGGAUGCUUAUUGCAAAAUGGAAUGGUGCAAUAAAGGAAUCCAAACCCAACGUACUACAAGUGUUUCUAAUUUGCUAAUAAUUGGCUUCAAACCAUACGUACUUGGUAGUAUCUCCUUGCUGUGUUUGGCUCUUAAUUAAUUAGCACAUAUUGGCCAAAUAUCAAACUGAAUAUAUUAGCCAACCCUAAAUUACAUGUUAGUUACACUUAAAAAUAAGUCAAAAAAGCUAAAAAGAAAUACUAAAAAAAAGAAUUAAGCUUGUGGAAUAUGGCAAGGGGCCAACUACUUCUUUAGCAUCCUACCAUGUUGGGGGUAUGUUGACCAAGUUAUUGCGUUUCUUAUAAUUUUGUUGCUUGGAGUAGAUGGAAUCGGUCUUCCUCCUUUUUUUUUCGGUACAUAAUCGGUCUUCCUCUUUAGUGGCCCCAUUUGUUUAAUUUUUUUCUCCCCCUUGGUAAAUAAUUGAUGGAAUUGGUCUUUCAUCUUCUUGAAACUCAAUUUUUAGGUGCACCACUUCCGGCAAUGAGCAACUUCAUGAUCCUUGUAUACUUCCACUCUAUUUCCAAGCAUACGUGAAAAUGAGCAAUUUGAAGAUGCAAAUCAAUUUCACAGAAUAUUGUAACUAAAUAAAACUUAAAGGGAUCUUUUUCAAACAUACAUUGUAAGUCUAGAAAAACUUAACAAUCAAUGAGAAAAUUCUUUUAUUGUUUGGAUGGUGAGUUAUUUGCACAAUUUUACUUAUUUAUAUCAUCAACACAUUUCUUAACUAUUUUUUUAUCUCACAUAUUUAUGAAGAAACAAGAUUUUGUAUACAUUAGCUGUAAUGUUUUCUAUUGCACAUUCCUUUGGACUUCUCACUCUCUUUCAAAUGACGUACAUCAACGUUAAUUGACCCCAUUUUUUUCUUUUUCUUCUGUCAAGUUAAUUGACCCAAUUGAGCAUAUAGCUCAAUGUUAAUUCUCCUUUAUUUUACAAAGAAGAAUGAAUUGUCAACACCGAUCACUAUCCACAAUUGUUUACAUCUUCUAUUCAAAAAACAUGUAAAGUUAGAAAAAUGAAAUCGAGGUUCAGCAAAUGCAUGCAUCAUUUUGGUUCUCAAGCAACAUUAAGGAAUUUCACAUGAAUCUUUUUUUAUCUGCAUAAUUAACUGUUGUCAUCAUCUCCCUUUUAAUCUUAAAACUUGAUAUUCAUUAUUCAGAAUGCUCUCUAAUUUUACGACACAACGACAUAACUAAAACAAAAAGAAACAUGAAUAAUCUCAAAUGGGGUUGCAUACAAGUUCAGCCACUUGCGAACCCAUCUCGAGCAGCUCGAGUCAAAACUCGACUCGAGUUCUAUUAACACUAAGUCGAGCCAAACCCAAGCUUGAAUUUAAACUCAAAGAUGCUCAAGUCCCUAAAGAGAAAUAUUAAAUAGCAACUAUUAAUGAGAAAUAAAAAGACAUAUUAGCCUAGUGCAAAAAUGAAUUUACUUUUACCACUUUGGCCGAAACUGCCUUUCAAACCAAUUAUCAGACCGCUGAAUAAAAGGAAAAGUAAAAGCAAUAAACUAUAAAUUUGGGAAAAAGAAUAAAAACCUUUCCAAUAAUGUCGUACAGGACAAAACUACAGUGCGCACAGCACACAUCUGCGUAGAAUAGUAAGCAGCUUAUGGGAUUAACAUGAAAUAACCCGAACGUUAGAACUACCCCAAACUCUCUCCUUCUCUUUCUCUCUCUCUCUCUCUCUUUUUGUCCACUUUGCCCCUGGCCCCCCAUACAUAAACUUACAUUCCUGGCCAAUUUUUCCCCACAACCAUCAAAAUUCAGCAAACCAUCUUUUCCGCUGAUCAAUUACUCCCCUACAAACGGAAAGCUAGAAGAAAAGAUAUGCAGAUUACAAUUACACCUCAAAAUAAGCUUUUUUGAGUCUUUCUCACUAAUAAAUUACUCUUUUUUCCAUUGAAUGUUAUAGCCCAUAUUUGAAUAUUACUACAGACACCGAAGAAAAAAAAAGAAGAAAGAUAUUGGGUUAAUGGCGAUGGGUCUAGAACGAGAAAGAGAACAAUCAUUGCCAUCCUCAUCAUCAUCCAAGCCUUUGCAUAAUUUCAACCUGCCGUUUGGAUUACGGUGGGGUAAUCAGAAGUUUUUACGAUGUAUGAAGGUUAACUCUAACGGCGAAAUCUCCGCCGUCCAACGCCGUCCUUCGUCUUCCUCCUCGCUAGCUGCUGCUUUUAAUGCUAGUAAUGGUAAUAGAAAUGGGAAUUUGAAUUCUUCUUCUUCUGCUGAUGUUCUGUCCAUCAUCGGAAAGAGGAAGGAGAGAGAGAAAUGUGAGGACCCAUCUAUUGUUCUGGUGGAUUAUCACCGUGGAUCCGAUUCUAAGAAAGUGGGUUUAAGUUUGAUGCCUCCUCCUCCUCUGGCAUCGUUUUCGUCGGCCGGUAUCGUUGCUACUGAGUCUCGCCAAAAAAUCAAGUCGGCAGAGAAUAGAGAUAGAAGUGGUGAUGGGAUUGCUGCAGUGAGGGAGAAGCUCAUGUUUGAUCUUCAAACAGCGGCGGAUAAGAUGAAAGAUGCAAUUUUGAGGGAGAGGCUUGAGCCAGAUGAGCAACAUGAUAAUCUACCAUCGUUGGUGCAGGCGCCGGCGACUUUGGUGGCAACGGUUGCUACUACUGCAUCGGAGAUUGCUGAGGCAGCUGCGCGACCAUGGAACUUAAGGACUAGGAGGGCGGCCUGUAAGGCGCCGUCUGGUAACAGAUGCUCCUCGGCCGGUGCCGGGACCAGUAACGGUGGCAGUGGCGAUGAUUUUUCACCUGAAAAGAGUUUGAAGGUGGAUUUGGCGAAGCCCAAUUUUGGGGCUUCACCAUCGAGGGUAGCGGUGGUGGAGAACAAUAAGUCGUCACCAAGGCUGAGGAGUGGUGGCGCCACCACUGCUACCGCUUCUCCGAGUAAUGAGAAGAAAGAAAGAGCUAAGUUUUCGGUUUCUAUCACACGACAAGAGAUCGAAGAGGAUUUCUUGGCUAUUGCUGGUCGAAGGCCACCUCGCAGGCCUCAGAAACGUAGCAAAUAUAUACAAAAAAAUUUGGAUGUAAGUCAAUUUCAUCCCUCGUACAUUUGAUUGUCAUCUGCAAUUGAUACUUGCAAGAUUUGAUUUUUAUAAAUGUGGGAUUUUUAUAUGCAUUUUUAUUAUGGUACAUUUUACUGUUUCAUUGAUUUUGAGGUCUUAUGUUAAUUGGCAGACUUUGUUCCCGGGCUUGUGGUUGAUAGAGAUUACUGCAGAGAUGUACAAAGUUCCUGAAACGCAGUAGCUGUAGAAAAGUGAUGGUUUCUUUCUGAUGCUAAAUGAGUAGUAAUCAGAGGAAAAAUUUUGGAACGAUUGAUUAAAUUCAAGCUGUCUAAUUCUUUUUUUUUUUUUUUUUUGCAGAGGUGGGGUUUCUGCAUUGCUGACUAAACAAGUGUAAUUGUGAAUGACUACUGAUCAUCGACUAAUGUAGUGGUAUACUGCGUAACCAACCUCUGGGAAUGCACUAUAAAUUUGGGAUUUCCUCCAAUAGCAAGUAAUGUAAAAAGAAAGCACUGUUGCUGGAGCAAUUCUAAUUGUUGCUAUCUCAUGAUUUCUCUUUAUUCGUAAUUUUCUUUCUGCUUUUGGAAUAAAUUAACUUGUUCAUAAAUGUUGAUUAGUGUCUUUACAUUGAAGACAGUGCAUUAUCAAAUCAUCUUUUUGUUUCAGUCUCUACCAAACUCAGUGUGCCUUACUAAGCUUGCACCAAAAUGCUGUCACUAAGGUUGUGGUUAAUGAUUAGUUCUACUAACAAACUAACAUUACUGAGAGUAGUGCUUUUCUAGUGCUACGGUGAUUCUUUCUGUUUUUCUUUUUUUUUUUUUGGUUUUUUUGGGUAGGGGGUAGUGGUGGUCUUCAUGUUGGAAACCAUGAGGUUAUAGAGGUAAGGUAUGGUUUAAUGGUACUGUGUUGCUAUUGUUUUUUGGUCUACCUGUAUAUGCAGGCAAACAUCUUGAACUGAAAGUUGAGGUAUCGACUUCAGUCAUUGAUCUCAAAAGCUUUGUAAUUAUCUACGUAUUGCUAUAAUAUAUAGUACUGUAACUUGCCCUUCUCCUCCUUGGAUCUUGUUUCCUUGUGUAACCGCUAUACUCUUUCAGUUUUGCUGGUUUCGUUCAAAUUUUAAGUCCUUAUCUACUUGCAGUUUUGCUACUUGGUAGUAUCUUUCUUUCUAUCAUACCCAAUGAUGGACUACCAAUUGUCUUCAACAUGGCGUUUGAUUUUGAAUCUAAUCACCAGCAAGUUCUUUCUGCUGUUCUUUGACAUCGACUUGAAACAGAGAAAUGAUGUUUUUAAUUGGUUUGAUAAAGUUCAAAAAUACUUUAGAUCAUUAUGUACUAAUAAUAUAUAGUUAUCUUCCAUUCCUGUUUUGGGAAUGUUAAAAUUGCCAGCAGAAAUGGCCUAGUUUACAAAUUACACUAGAAUCUAAACUUUCAUGAAUUCUACAGACUACAGUUCAGUCUCCAAACAACUUUCGAGUAGUUUUUGAAGACAAUGGUAUGAGAUGCUAACAAAUGUAAAUUAUAUCUUGUUUUCGUUAGGCUAAACAUCUGUUUUAGUCAAUUUAGUCCCUGCACUUGUAAAUUGCUUAUUCAGACCUCAAUUUGUUACAAAAAUAGAUUUUCUCGCUAAACUUUUGUUUUAGCCAAUUUAGUCCCGGCUAUGAUACUUUCAGCGCAUUUGGUCCUUAUCAUAAUAAUCUGAACUGAAAUGGUCUUGACGGCAGCUUUCAUUCGAUUGCAAUUUGCCUUUUGGAAGCUAAAUUUUUUUAUUAAUCAUAUUUCUAAAUCUAUAUUUUGUGGCUUGAGAAAAACAUGUAUUUAUAUAAAAUUGACACUUACCAGUAAGAGCUAAUGGUAUGAAACUAACAACAUUGUUAUUGAAACCAUGCUUAUUAUUCGUGUGGGAUCUGGAGUUAGCUUAAUGAUCAAUCAAAAUAUAGCCAUUCAUUUUGUCGACAGGUGUUUAGUGUUUCCUUAAUUCAUGCUUUUCUCACAUUCAAGCACCAAGGAGUUUUACAGCACUUCGGAUUAGUUUCAGGCAUUUGGAGCCCAUAAAUAUCAAACAGAGCCAUUAGUUUUCAUCAAGGACUUGGUUCUCUUUUACCUUUAAAGUAACUAUCUUUAACUUUUCAUAAAUGUAUAUGCUUUUAGAUUUAUCACUUGACGCAAAUAUUUAAUCGCUACUCCUUUUUUUCUUUUUUCAUUUAUGUGUUUAUUUUUCUGUUUGUUGCAUAUUUCUUCUAUUUGAAAUUAUGUUUUUCUAUUUACCUAUUUAAAGUGAUUAAUAAUUAUUUUUAAUAUACUAAUCAUUAGGUGAAAGUUAUGAAAAUGGCUAUAGUUUUUACGAGUAAAUUUAUUUUCUAUUGCACAUUAAACUUAUAAUAUAUUCUAAAUAGCCAAUAAAAUUGGUACAUAAUAAAUUAAUAUUUUAUUUUUGUGUCUAAGUGCUGCAGAGAAUUUUAAUUAGAAAUUGAAAGGUAUUCCAAAUUAUGGCAUAUUGCGAUGGUAUAUUCUUUUGUUGAUUCUACUAAUUUAUAAUUUUUUUAUCUUAUAUACAAAAGACAUGCCCAUUUUGGUCAUUAUUCUUAAUACGAUACAAAAAAUAAAGGAACUCAAAUUUAUUUAUAAUAAAUACACAAAACAGAUGUCAAUGUACUAUUUUCAUGCAAUCUGAGUAAGAUUUCUGUGAAUCCAGAUAUAUACAGGUAUACAAUGAUGGUAUGAACCAACGAUGAGAUGGAAGAUCUCUUCCAAACCAUGUAUAUAAUAGAAGUCCACUUUAAUAAUAAACAAAAUCGAUGUUUUGAACUGCUACUCUGCUAUAAGAAUUUACAAUCAUUGAUAUCUUUUCAUGCAAAUUUUAGAUCCAAAUCUAGUUCUUAGAAGCAAACAAAUGAUCAUGUUCUGAAUUACUAAUAUUGAGAUAAAAAUUUGACUAAAAGAAACGUUCAAAGUGCAAAAAGAACUAAAGUAACACCAUAUGUCUAAUCAUCUAAAAAUGACAGAAAGCAUUAUUAAAAUAAAAUUUCAAAUACAGUUUCUACAAUUGAAUCUAAAUAUUUUUUGUUGGAGACAUAAACAUUAAUGUCAAAAGGAUUGUAUAAAUUCUAAAAACUUAAUUUUACAAAUUCUACAAUUGAGCUAUCUACUUAUUACAAUGAAAUCGCAUAAUCUAAAAUAAAAUCUUAUUCUUGUGUUCUUAAUUCUAAUUUUUGUAGAAAUUUUACAAUCAAGAAACCAUAUAUGACAAUCAACAUAACAUUUUUUUCAUUUUUUUUACCAAAAAUAGUAUAAAAAUCUUAAAUAAGAUAGACACGUGCUAAAAAUAUUAGUUCAAAUGUUGAUUCUAGAGAUGUAUUUAUGUAUAUUAUUUUUUUUACUUUCAAUAGAUCUUUUAUUACUAGUCGAAAUACAUGCUAAACGUAUCUCAAGAAGUUAAAUUGAAUCAAUUAUCAAUUAGGAUGAACUGAUAAUCACUAAUAUUGUUAGCAAAAUUAAUAAAAUAAAAGAUGGUGCAAAUUAAUGAUAAUGUAUUAUUUUAUUUUUGCUAUGAUAGUUUGACACAUUUUAAUCAUUUUUGGUACAUUUUUAUUGAUUUGGUAGUUCAUUUAUACUAAUUAUUUUGCUAAAAUUAUGAAUAGUUGGAUUUAAACAAAAAAUUUUUGAGAGAGUAUAAGAUCCAAAGUAUCCACAAUUUAGAGUUUAGGGUGUAAGUAUCCAAAAUUAAAGUUUAGAGUGCAAAAUAUAAAAAUGAUAUAAGUUUGAGAGUGGAAAGUGGAAUCAAUUUUGUCAAUUAUCCUUGAUGGUGAUGAGAGGACGUGUUCAUAACAAAAUUUCUCUUUUUAAUUAUAAAUUUUGGCCUUAUUUACAUCAAUAGAUUAAAUAUCAUUUUAUAUAAUUAUUUUGAUCACACAAUAUAGACAAAAUAUAUACACCCAUAAAGAAAAAAGGGACAUGAUAGUAAUUUGAUAAUUUUACCUAACCUACAAAUACUAUACUCGCUUCAGUUAAAAAUAUUUUUAUUUAUUAUGAACGUUUAAAAUAAUCCAUUCUAAACUUAAAAGUUUUCAACAAGUAACAUAUUUGAACAUUGAAUGUUGAAUUGAUUAGCAGACUAAAAAAGUUUAAAAUCAUAAAAAAAUUUUAUGUGAGACAAUUUAGUAUCCAUUCUUUUGGUAUUAUAUGUUUGAAUUAGAUUGAAUAUUGGAUGGUGAGAUCAAUUUGUUUGACUCUUAGAACAAUUUUACAAAUUUAAAAUACGAAUAAUUAUCAAUCUCAUAAGUUACAAAUGUAAAUGGAAAGGAUGGAUUGUUUCUAAUAUUGUUUUGGAUGGUAGGUGAAAAAUCUUUUAAAACCUUCAAGACAUCCUAAUUUUAACCAUUAAACAAUAUCAUUCAUCAUAAUAUAAGACAAUUGGCAAACAUAGAAGUUAUCAACUUAUUUGAUUUAUAAGUCUAGUGAUAUAUAUAUAUAUAUAUAGAUACACACACAUAUAUGUAUGUAUGUAUUUAUUUAUUUAUUUAUUAUUGUAGUAUUACCAAUAAUGGUGUGUACAAUCUUUUUCAAAUCAACAAUAAUACAUUGAUUGCCGUUCACUCUACCAAUCAAUACUCCAUUAGUGUGAAAGGAUUAUGAGGGUUUUAACUAGUUUAUCUCUAAUUGAUUAUGCAAUCAUUUAAUAUGUUUUUAACAUGGAAGGUCCUAGUUGCGAUAUUGGUCAAUGAGCAAUAUUCUUUGACAAGCACUAUAAGUAUAGGACAUAAAAGUUAAUAGUUUGCUAAUUUUCUAUUCUAAUCUUGGACACUUUGAUAAUAGAAGGAAAUGUAUUGUAAAAGUUCAACAUUAUGAUCAUGUUUAUUUUAAAAAGGCAAAAUUUCACUUUGUCCCCUCAAACUAUAAGCAGAAUCCCACUUCAAUCUCUAAACUUUAAAAUGGGAUAUUUAAAUCCUUAAACUAUAAAACAUGUCCCGCUUUACUCCAAUUUUUAACAGAAUGCACAAAACCAAACGGAAUAGUUGUCAAUUCUGUUAGUUAUUAUUAUAAUUAAAGUUAACCAAAUCCAACAGGAACAUAAGUGUAAUUUCAUGAAAUCCAAAACUUUUGAUACACUCCAAAAUUUUAAAAAUUAUUCAUUCACCUUCUUUCUCUUCCUCCCCAUCUCUCCCUUCAUCCCAGCCACACACUGCCCAUGCCACCCACUACCACCGUUUGCCACCAGAAGUUCUGAUCCUGCCCUUGACUCGCAGCCCUCCAUUUGUUAAUUCUUGUAACAUAAUCACAACAAAAAAUUUUAAAUAUCAUAAACCAAAUCAAUAUCAACAAAAAAUUUUAAGUGGGAAAAGAGGGAGAUAACGAGGCCAUAAGGGAUGGUAGUGGCGGUGGUGUUGGAGGAGGAGGAAGAGAGGAUGGAUCGUGCGGUGGCGGUGGAAGUGAAGGUGGAGGUCGGAGGUGCGUUGGUCGAGGAUUUCGAGGUAACCUUUGUCCCAGAGCCAAGACUCAAAAGCCAGGUCGGGUACACUCAGGGCUAAUGGGUUGGAGGAGAAUACCAUUUUCUUUAUCUCACUACUUUUCUCUUAAGGAAAUUUGUAUUCCGUGAUUUGGCUGGUGGGAAACAAAUCAAACAGGAUUGACCCAUUUUCUUGGUGGUCUUUUGUUCUUUUCUUUUUCCCCUUUUUUUCUCAAAACAUGUUUCUAGAUUUUUGGUUUUAAAUUCAGUUGGUAUUUGUAAAAUUGGUUUUCAAGAAAUCUCAAAUUUGUUUGGAGUAUUCUUUUCUUGAACAAAUCAUUUACAUUAUUUCCGUUAUAACAUUAAAAAAAAUGCUCCUACAAUGUUAGGAUACGAAAUUGGGUGAAUGAAGAAGAGGGGAUAAGAAAUUAGGUGGGGCGGCUAUUCAAAGGGAAGACAAGAAACAAGUUACAGGUUGUGAUAAGUACAAAUGGUGAUGUAUUGGAUGGCAAAUUUUUUGUGAUUUCUUCUAUUUGUGAUAAACGUCAUAUUUUUGGAUUCAUCACCGGGAAGAGAAUAAAGUAGUAAAGUGUGGUGGACGAUGAUGGUAGGAGAAAAGGGAGAAGAUGGUGUAGCAGUGGUUGAUGUGCGGUAAUGGAGGAAGAAGGCAGUGAAGAAAAAAAAGGAAAAAAUAGAAAAGGAAAUGAAAGGAAAAUAGAAAAAAGGUGGGAAAAAUAAAAGAAAAUGAAAGUUUAAAAAAAUGGCUUUUUUUUUUAAAAAAAGGGAAAAAACUGUAAUUAUUAUUAAUUAAAGAGGUAAAAUUAUCUUUAUCUCUCUGACUUUUUUUAUUGGGUCUCAUGAAAUUAUAUUUAUGUCCCUAUUAGAUUUGAUUAAAUUAAAUUAUAAUUAUAACCUAAAUGAAUUGGCAACUAUUCUAUUAGGUUUUGUGCAUUCCGUCAAAAUUUGGAGUAAAGUGGGACGGAUUAUAUAGUUUAAAGAUUUAAAUGUCCUAUUUUGAAGUUUAGGGACUGAAGUAAGAUUUUGGGCAUAGUUUGAGGGGAUAAAAUGGAAUUUACCCUUUUAAAAAUUAUUAGUAAUAGAGUUUAGCAAAGAUUAUGUUGAAAAUUAUGAAGAUGAUCAUGUUUUUAUGUGUAAGUUUAUUUUCUGUUGCACUUUAGACAUAUAAUAUAUUCAAAACUAUCAAUGAAAUAGGUACAUUGUAGACUAAUGGUUUAUCUUUGUAUCAUAGAUGCUGCAACGAAUUUUAGUCAAAAAUUAAGACGUGCUCCAAACUAUGACAUUGUGAUGGUAAAUUUUCUGUUGAUUCUACUAAUUUAUGAUUUUUUUUUAAUUUUAUAUAGAAAAUGUGUGCCUAUGUUAGUGAUUAUUCUUGGUACCAUGCAGGAAUUGAAGGAUCUCAUAUUUGUUUACAAUAAAUACCACAAAGCACAUAUCAAUGCACUAUUUUCAUACCAUUCGGGCAAGAUAUCCAUGAGUUCGGAGAUAUACAUGUAUACAAUGAUAAUAUGUACCAACAAUGAGAUGGAAGAUCUAUCCCAAACCAUGCAUGAAAACAACAUAUUUAUUUCUGAUUAUUCACUUUAUCGAUCAAAACAUACAUAAGAAUUCUAACUAGUCCUUUUGUAGUUAAUUGUGUAACCCUUCAAUUUGGAUUUAACAUGGAAUGCCCUAUAGUAAUUAGUCAUAAUUUGUCGCGAUAUGAUUGUGAUCAUGUAGCAAUAUUUUUUGACAAAAACUAUAAGUAUCAGGGGCAUACGAGGGGUGAUUUUUAGAUUUUUUUUUAUCUUGAUAGGGCACUAUCAGAGCAUGGUAAAUUGCAUGGCAAAAUUCUGUCAUUUAAUAGAUUUGUUUGAAUUAAAUGAAGUUAUAUUCAAAGAUAAAUUAUUCAAUUUGGUUGGGUCUGACAAAGAUCUAUUUAUAUAUGCAAGGAACAAUUGAAAAAUUCCUCCUAACUUAUACGACUCAUAUGCAAAACUUCAUUGGAAGUUGAAGAGGGUAUGUUCAUAUAUUUUACAAGUAAAUCAAAAGAGAAUUGUGUAAUUCCAAAUGAUCUAUCAUAUUUGAAGAUGUGGAGAUGCAAGAUAAACCAUAUGAUUUUUUACAAGAUGCUAGAUCUACAUAUUUUUUAUAUUAUAAUUCGAAUGGAUCGUUUAACGUCGUUCAGAUUUGAUACUUGGAAAUGAAGAUAUUAACGGCAUCAUUUGAUAAUUAAUCAAUCAUUUGAUUGGAUUGAGAGUUGAAAUAAUGACAUUAGAGUUUGUAGUUAUACCUUGUUAUUUUAAUUAUACUUUGUCAAGAUUUGUAAAGCUUGUAAGACUUGUAUUCAACUUCUAUGUCGGAUAUGCUCUAGUUUUAUUUUGGGUGUAUUAACUAUUAAAUGGAUUAAUUUAGUUAGUUAGAUAGAUAUCUUAUAUUGUCAUGAUUUCUUUGAAAUUAUGGUGGCAUCUAAACUUAUUUUGCAAUCAGAAAUUUUGGUGCAAUCUAUUUGUCGAUUCUUUGUUUUUCUUAUUUUCUUUUACAUUUACGUUUAUUUUUCUUCAUUUUCUUGCACAUUUUCGCUUUAAAAUUUUUUACAUGUUAGAUCCUCAUAUUUGUCAAAAUAUGAAUGGCCCAUGCUGAUAUAAUUGCAAAUUGCAAUUGGCAAACUUUCUCCUUUCGCUAGGCAGUCUCAAAGUUUGACAACUUCAAUGCAUAAAAAAAUGCUUAAAUUCUUAUUGAAAAGAUAGUUAAAUUCAUAUUUUUCAACUUCAUAUUAGUAAUUUUUGUAAAAAAUUCAUAUCCUAAAUCCAUCAAAAGAUGCUUAAAUUGUUGUAAAAGACUCACAUCAGUAAUUCUUAUAAAAGAUUCAUAUUAAUUUGGGUUACAAGAUGUCAAUAUUCGUCGAGAAUAGUGUUCUAACUAAUAUUUUUGUAUAAGACCGUGAAAGUUUCAAUGAAGAAUAGAGAAUUGAGUCUUGAUGUUGUAUUAUAAUAGAUAGACAUAGAAAAGUAAAAUUAAGCAUAAAGACAAGUUAUGGAUCAGAAUUAGAAUUCUAGUAAAAUUAACUAAAUUGGAAUUUUGAACCAUAGUUCCAAUACAACAAUCUAAAAUGAUUGAUUUAUAGUUUAUAAUAUUUUCAUAUCCAAGUCUUGUCUUAAUCUCCUUAGAACAAAGGAUACCAAAAUCAAAAGGAAUGAACAAAUUGCCAUUCUUAAGAUUACUAAUAUCAAGCUAAAAAGUGGCCAAAAAGAAACCUUCAAAGUUCAAAAAGAAGGCACAACCAUACAUCUAAUUGUCUCAAAAAAUGGAAAGCAUUAGUAAGAAAAAGAAAAAAAAAAGGAAAAAUAAAGCAUGGGAUAGCAGCAAAUGAAUGAUGGCUUGAUCUUCUGUCCUCAGAACCUAUGACACAUAGCUAAAAUUUAUUUUUUUUUAACAACAGCAAAAUUGAUUAAAAUCACAAUUGUAGAUUAUUGCUUUAAAUACAUUAAUUUUCAAUAUUUCAUUUAGAUGUUUUCAUAAAUAAUUUUUGUUGGCAAUGGAUUGAAUUUAGAACAUUAGAGAUAAAUUAUCAAUUGGAAAAGGAAAUGACUAGUUUGAUCAAUAAUUGCAUUUUUUUUCUUCUUUUUUGGACUUUGCAUUACAGAACAAGGAAUCAAAAUCAAAUAAAACUACAGUACCUUUAGAAAUGUAAGAGUCAGGAAUAUUCAAAAGAAGAUUAAUUCUAGCUCCAUUUUCAUAAUUCUUUCAUGAAGGACUUUUAUAUGAACUAUAUAAGUUAUAACUUGGGAAUGACGGUGCGGAUGAAUUUGUUCGUUUUGUCGAUGAUGGCUGAUCUUUCUAGGAAUGCUGCUUCUGCAUAACCUUUGGUAUCAUUGAUGGUUUGGGAUUUGGAGCUGAACUAGUACAAUUGCUCAGCGAAAGAAAAUGUAAGGAUCGGAUUAAUGUAUUAUUUCUACGGUUAUCAGAAUUCGAACUACUGUUUCUUUGAAAUUGCCAAAAUGGUCUAGAUGAUGGUUUCUUUUCCUCUUCUAUUUCUGUAUUUGAUUCAGAACUCAUUGUUUAAAACUCCUUCAAACUUUUUUCCUUCAUAUUAGAAUUGAGGUGUCUUUGCAUUCUCUAUUCUUGGACUGGUUGUUACAAUGGUACCUAGGAUGAUGGUACUUUUUCGCAAAUACAAUGAAAUUGGUUUGGAUUGAUGAAUUUCCUUGAAGGGUUUUUCUACAUUAGGCAUGAUUGUAGUAAUUUUCUUGAUAUGACUAGGAAAAAUCUUGCUAUUGGCAAAUAAUUAAUCUAUUGAAGAUAUGAAUUCUUGGGAAAAACUCUGACUAAUGCAGAAAUUGAAAUCAAUGGAUUUCAAAAACAAUGCAUCUGAUAUUUUGUGGUGGCAUUCCACCAGGACUAUACCUACUUCCUUAAAAUCAUGAGAGAAAGAGUAUCUUGAACUCACAAUAAGCCUUGAAAUUUCUGAACGAACAUCUACUGCCAUAGUCCUUGGCUCUAUUGAUCAAUAUUCUUUUAAACAAUGCCAAGGCAGAACAUAUAUAGGUAUAGUAAAAGCACAAAAUUCUGAAAAAAAAAGAACAAAAAUAUUGAGUUGUUUUGGGACUCAAAAGAUCAAGAGAGAGAGAGAGAAAGAGAGAGAGAAAGAGCGGAUUGGUGGGAGUAAGAGUUAGUUUUUGCUUUUUAUGUUAAGAUUAUAGUAGUGGAUAAAUUCCAACAUAGUAUCAUAUUCAAAGGAGAAGUGACUUAUUUCAUGAUGGAGUAACAUUGAGCUAUGCAUUAUGCCAAAUGAUAUAAAAGAAGUAAAAAAAGGGAUAUCUAGAGAUAAUAAUUGUUGAUUAAAAGUAAAAUAAUUUGUGCAUCGAAAGGCUAUGUGAUGAAAUAAUCUUUCUACAAGGUUCCCUAUGAAACUUUAGCUUUUUGAAACUGAAAUUAGAGAAAAUAUAAGGUACUUCACCUUGUAGCCUUUACGAUUCAAGAAACCACGUAUUUGGAGUGAAAUGGACAACCUACAAGCAUGGAAUUUGGCCGCAGAUGUCUUAAAAAAUUGUAGGACCACUUACUUUGAUUUUUUAGUCAAGAGGCAAGGUAUAUGGAGUUUUGAUACUUUAUAGAAAAUUUUCUAGAGAAUGUAGAUAGAUCCAAAUUAUUCUCUUCCCUCCCAAUAAUUAUUAUGUCUAUGCUACUUAAAGAAAUAAUGUUUAAAAUUUCACUAAGUUAAAACAUUUUUCUUUUACUACAAAAAAUGUAUCUUAAGAAAUCCAUCUAUGGAAAUUGAAGUUUUUAAUUCCUAUGACAGAUUUGCUAGGUGCUUUGGUGAUUAUCUUGUUUUGCAACAAUUAAAAGUUUGAUAUCAAUGUGUGUACGCGAUAAAAUUUCAAAAUUCCAUUGUCUACAAAGCGUGUGAAAAGUUGUGCAUUAAAAAAAUGAAGAUAGUUCGUGUUUAAUAUUCAAAUAGAAGAUAAAUUAUCGUGCGACAAUAAUGUUAAAAGUUUCUUCAUGUUUAACAAAACAUAAGUGAUGAUGGUGUCUAUUUUAUUUAUGUUCUAGAGUACUUGAAGAUUGGCAAUACUAAUUAACCCUGCAUUUUUGUAUACUAAUAUUUGGUAAAGAAAUGCCAACUUACACUUAUAUUCUAAAGUAGCAGGAAGAGCAAUGCUAGAAUGUGGCACAUUUAAAAGAGAAAUGGAGGUCAUAAUGUUCAGGUUUUAGAGGGCAGCUAAUUGUAUUUUUUAUGACCUAUAGAUAAAAAAAAAUAGUUUGUUUUUUUCACAUUAGAGGAUAAAACAAUCAAAUAUGAUUAUCAUUUUACGCUUCUUUAGUAUCUAGGAAAUUCAAAUAUUUUUCUAAGUUUUGAAACUUAAACCAUAAGGUAGAAGUAAAAAAAUAAAUAAAUAAAAGUCAAAAGUUGGAAAAUAGCUCGAAAUUCGACUAUGUAAUUAUUGUCUUUCCAUUGAUUAUGCCAUUUAAAAAACAGGUUUAUUGUGAAAUUGAUGAUGCAGGAUCAUAUAUAUAUAUAUGUGAGACCCCGUAAAUUUUCUCAUUUUCUAGGUCUUAUUCUAUUUAAUGGCAUAUUUUUCUGCAUUUUCUUUAUUAGGAAAAUUUUCUAGAUAAUUUUUAUGAGUGAAUAUAGUUUUUAGAUGAUUUUUUUAGUAUCGAUUAGUUUUUGAGAAAUUAAGAGCGUAUACCGGACGCGGGACCCGCUAGUGCGGAAAGUUCGGUAAAAUUCGACCAGUUCGGUUAAAUUUUAGAUAUUGGAUUUAAUUUACCGAGUGUAAUGAGAUAAUUAGAGGUUACCAAAUGGAUUGGUGUGAGAGGAACAAAGGAUAACCAUGCAUUUAAUGAAAGUGACAAGUGUCACUCAGAGAGUAAAUCUUACUUUUUGACCACUAUUCACCCUUUUACCAUUUUACUAAAUAAACCAAAAAUUGGUCAAAAAUCCUCUUCAUUUCAAGCUAUUGUGGCCGGCCCUCUUCAAGGAAAAAGAAAGGAAAAGCUCUCAAUUUUCUAGUCUCCAAUCUUGUUCAAUCUUCAAUUCCAACCGUUUAAUCUUGUAUUUGCUCCAUAAAAACCCUUAAGUGAGUGGUUGUGAGGUGAUUAGUGAAGUGGUUUGGAGGAUUAAGGCGCCAAGUUGCUCUUUUCUUGGGUUGUUAAGGUGAGUAACUAAGGGACCUUUCUUUCUUUUCAAUAAUGCUUAAUUAUUGACUUAUGUGAGAUGAAUUGAUGGGUUUAAGUGUUGUUUCAUGACUUUUGGUAGAAUUUGGUGCAUUUUUCUAUUUAAUCAUGAUUUUUCUAUUUUUAUAUGAUUAUUAUGGUGUGGCCUUGGAUGAUGGUUGGAAAUGAUCUAAAAUGAAGCUAGAGGGUGUAAGUUGUGGCUAUUUGCGGAAAAUUUCCGCAUUGAAAGGAAAUUUCGGAAGUUAGGGUUUCAAUUAACCUCAUUCUGCCCGGUACUGUUCCUCCUAGUUAGAGGCCGAAUUAGUCUUGGAUUAAAACAUGAAAGUUGUAAAGGAUGGUAUUUUAUAGUGGCCUGCAAAAUUUCAGGCCCAUCGGAGUAACGUAGCUAUGAAAAGACUGAAAUACCCCUGCUGCCCUGUGUUUGUCCGAACCUCAUAAUCUGCUUCUGAAAUGGGGUAGUUUGACCAUGAAUACGACUGAUUUGGUUAUUGAUGUCUUCUUAAGAAAUAUAGUAUGAUAUCUUAGCUUUCGGAUGGCUUUGGAAUCACUUGAAUUGGACUUUGGUAGCCUGAAUUAUGGUUAUUUAAUCAGAAUGCGGUUCGCUAACCUGUUUUUGCGGUUCUAGUGUGGUACAUUGAACUUUUGACCUAGUUGCACUACAAACUGGACUGAGUGACCUUCUUCAACAUUGUAUCCCUUUCUUUAGCUUCGAAACGGUGUAUAUUGUACAUCCAUCCGAUAAUCGCAGUGCCAGUGGUGCCAAAAUCGCUAAAUGAUGUCAAAAACUGUUUUUUAGGGUUUAGAGUUUAACUUCAUUUCCGGACUUUCCCUAGUGUACUCUAGUACCUAUACGUUCUAAUGGAGCCUUAUUUUGGUAGUAUGUGAAAUUGGUUUAUAACUUGUAAUCGAGUCUUAUUGUGCUUAUUUGAAUGUUUUAGGACGUAACGGUGGUUCAAGAUGCUCUUUGGGCGGAAGUGUAUGAAAUAUCAUUUGCUUGCUUGGUGAGUGUACUACUCACUUGCUUGUUACUAUGUGGCUUUGUUACAUUGGAACUUGAUGCCUUGAAUGCUUAUUUGUACCGUUAAAACUGAUUAAAGUGAGGGUGUACUUGAUCGCUCUCACCCCUUUUGUGUUAUAUAUGACUGUCCACUGUUUCACUGUGGUACUUGAAUGGUACAUGAAAUACUGGAUUUGAUAUCGUUUGGACGAGUAUCCAACGGCCAUUAUUGUCACUACUGAGCUCAACCCCAUUGGUAGUCGAUUGAAUCGAACCAGCGAGGGUUUGGUCGUGAAAAUUGACGAGCCAUGGGGACUUUUAUAUGGAAUCUUGUAGUAGUGAGAAUCUUGAUUCCGAUAUACUCGAGUAUUACUAAAUUUAUACUGAAUGGAGUUCGGGCCCGGUAGGGGUAUGUUGGAUGGAAGGAAUGGAAGUAAAGUGGAGCCUACGGUUGGUUACUUAUAAACAUUGACGGAUGGUCGAUGAAAUCCGAUCAAGUAUACAAGCGAGGAAAGGAGCUCUUGAGAGUCGUCCGUAUCCUUUUGUCAAUUCUAUUAUUGUGUGCACUUGAUAUUGGAAUGAAAUGCUAUAUGUUUAUAUGAACCCCGUUGCUUGAGUGGUGAUAUCUCACUGGGCGUAAAUUCACUCUAUUUCUUUUGUUUUUCUUACAGGAAUUUGAAUACUUUUGGAAUGGCUUUGAUAGUUGGAUGCCGAGUUGAGCUAGUUGUGAACACAUUUUGUAUAGCUCCUCGAAGAAUGAAACCCUAGAUGUAUUUUGACCCGUUCCCUCUUUUGAAUUGAAGGAUUGAACCCGUACACGUGUAAAUGAGAUUGGUUAUUUUGGUAUGCUAUUUUGGUUUGUAAAUGCUUAAUUUCAAGGUGUAUAUGUUUGAUUGCUGUUUGAUGGGAUUUCGGACAGAUUUGGAUUUCAAACGACGAAGGAAAAAUUUUUUGGCGGGAAAGAACAGGGUCGAAUCCGGCCAAAAAUUGGCCGGAUUAGCAGCCGGAUUGCCCUGAGAAUUUUGGAAAUCCGGCUUUGCUCUCUGGCCAGUAACCGGCCAGAUUCCGGACGGAUUCUGACGUGUCAGUUACUAUUUAUGUCCGGCUUCGAUUUUCAUUUUUUUAUUUUAUGAUUUUGACUUGUUUAAGCGUGCUUGUACUUUCCGGAACAUUCUCGAUCGCUUUAAACUGUCCCGUUAGUCCUGGCGAGAGUUGGGCAGGCAAUUCGCUAACCCCUUUAGUUUGCCUUAGGGGGAGGUGGGGCUGUCACAAUAUAUCAUUUUGUUUGAAAUUAAUUUUAAGUGAGAAUUCUCUAAAGUGUAAAAGGCAAAGUCUCACAAAUGAAAAUGGCAAUGAUAGGAGCAUUUAUAUAUAAUUUAGUAACUUUUCUUGAAUAUGACUAAAAAUAGAAUACUUAAAUAAUGAAAAUGUUAUUGUUAUGUUCAAUCCCAUAAGUAUAAAAGGUGACCACAAAAUUUUGAGACAAACCUUUGUGUAAUAAUCCGCAUAACUAUUAAGAGAAAAUACGCGCAUUUAUUUACAUCUUUGUUGGCCCUUUUUAUCAUUGCUUAGUAUAUCAUGUUACUAGACCUAUCAUUUGACAAAAUAUGCUUAUAGACAGAAUUAGCAUAUUCUACAAGAAUUUGUUAAAUAUCUCUACCAGCUGAUUGUUCAUAAAGCAAUCCAAAGUGCCACGCUGAAUGCAAUUUAAUUUCAAGUUUUAUGAUUUUCUUCCUGUCAACAAAUGCCAAGUUGUCUAAGUGGAAGAGAGAUAGGUUGGGUAAUAUGGAAGAAUGAAGUAUGACUGAGAAGUAUCGGGUUCGAAACUUCCUCACUUAUAUAUAAGUAGGUCGAUGCCAUAUGAAUCUAAAUUUUCAAGAUACAUUGAAACAUUGAAAUCUAGAAUAAUGGUAUAUGAUGAAAACAUUAAGACAAAAGUUUUCUUGAAAAUUUGUGUUGAUAAAAAAUAUAAUAUUAAAUAAAAAUAUUAGAACUAAUUGUCAUUAGCAUUUAUCAUCUUUUUUUAUUAGGUGAUAAAGCAAAAUGCAUAAUAAGAAGAGACAUUUCUAAAGUCACAUAUGAUGUUGGAAUCAAUGAAUUAGACAAUAGCUUAGUUGGCAUGCAACAUUGUUGGAUUCAAAAUCUCUGGUUUAGGUUUUGCUUUAGAAAUUAAUAAAAUGCACUCCCCUGUUCUUUGAUUUUGGAAAAUAUAAAUUAUUCGCUUAUAUAUCAUGAGUCUGGUUACUGCUAAUUGUUUUGGAUGUUGGUUCUAGAAUCUAGAGUAUGUGAUCCUAAAUGUACUAGAGUAUGUGAUCCUAAACGUACUAGUUUAAUUGAAAAUUUUGAUAAGAACCCAAUGAAAUGCUCCUAGUUUUUAGUUUCCAAGUUGACUCAAUGUUGAUGCAAUGAAUAGGUUGAACUAUAGUCAUUCUUGAUCAGGACAUAUGUUUACUAUGUGUUUAGCAGGGUUCUAGACUCUAGAUUGUCAUAUGCCAGUAGAAAAGAACACUUCAAGAUUUUGACCAACCAAAAUGAACCAUUUGGAACCAAUAAAAUAAAAUCAUAAUUUAUCAUAAUUAAUACAUGGUUGAAAGUAUCCACAUGAAAUGCUUAUAUAUUACGAGUAUAAUGAUAUUUAGUAGAGUUCUCUUAUGGAGACAACAAGACGUUAAUCGUAAACUGAUACUUAUCUGAGAAUUAUUUAGAUGAUACUUAAAUUUUGUUGCAUAUUCAUUUUGCACUUUGGUUGUUAGAUCUAGUUCUUUUUUCUUCUCAUGCUUAUUGUUCUCAGGAAUUUUUCUCUUCAACUUUAGUUUCUUCUCUCCCUUUCUUUCCUUUAUCUUUUGUUCACUUUCCAUCAUUGUCAAUUCAACUUGUCCACUAGAAUCCAUUCAAGUCAAAAUUAGCUCGCAUGAGUGAUAAAUUAAUUAGAUUCUACAUGAAAAUUGUGUUGGUUGGAUCAAUCUUCUUCCAUGUUUUUUCUUAUUAUUUUUUGAGUUGUUGUUCAUUUUGAAAACAUUGACCACAAUAACUCUUUUUUUCCAACUACCGUUUGAACGCUUACAUAUCAAAAUAUAGGGUGAAAGUCCUCAUUUUUGGACCCCAACGUCAUUGAAGCUUUCCAGAAUUUAAAAAAAGACCAUACGCACACAUGCACACACAACACACACAAAGAGGACUAUUGUCUCUAGAAAUUCAAUUAUAUCUACAAUUUAACAUAAAGAAGUUUAGUUUAUACUUAUAUUUGACUCUCUGGUAUCUUUCCAAUUUCCUCUAAAUAGAGGGUUAUAAUAAUAAUAAUAGUAGUAGUAGUAAUAAUAAUAAUAACUAGUGUGCAAGGCAUACACUAAUAUAUGUGCAAUUAGGACUGCAAACGAAUCGAACCGCUCGCGAGCGGUUCGAGUCAAGUUCGAGUUUGAACUCGAGUUCAAAAUAUUAAGCUUGUUAGGUCGUGAGUUAGCUCGCGAGCUCGAGUAUAUAUAUAUAUAUGAUAUUUUUUAUUUUUUUAUUUUAAGUAUAUAUAUUUUUUAUGUUAAGUAUAUAUAUUUUCUUAUUUUAAUAGUAAAAUUACAUAUAUCCUUAAUAUUUUAUUAUUUAUUAAGAAAAAAAAUAUUAUUUUAUUUAUUUUUUAAAAAAUAAAAUAAUUAUUUUUUAUUUUUUUCGAGCUCGAGCUUUAAAUUGCCGACUUGUCGAGCUUGGUAAAAUUUAGUCGAGACUCGGUUUGAUUAGCCCAAAACUCGACUCGACUCGACUCGUUUGCAGCUCUAUGUGCAAUUAAAAAAUAUUUGUAAAAUUUUUUUAUUAUAUUUAUUGAAAUCAUUUUGAGUUUAUUAUGGAUAGAUUUGAUGAGUAGUUUAUUAUGGGUGUUAUGAUGAGUAGAAAAUGGUUUUAGCGAUGGUAGCAAUUAUCACCCAAAUUAAUUGUAGAUUUACAAAAAAUGUGACGGUAGUUAUCAUCUUGAAUGGUAGUUGUGGAAGUUAUAAAAUUAUUUGAUCUUAUCACAUAGGAGUAAAUUUGGUAAGACAAUAUGGUAAAAGUUUACAUUAAACCAAUACUAUGCCUCCAGUUUUAUUAUAGAAGAGAUAAUAACAACAAUAUGGUAACACUUUGUUAAAAAAAUAAUAUGGUAAACUUUGUUGUUUGACUCAAUAACAAAGUCAAAGGGCAUGAUGUAUGGCUAUCAAAACUUGGUAUCCAAUUUUGGCUACUUUAUUUGCACUUGAACUUUCCUUGAAAAAUUCGAUGAGUGUGUUUGGAUAGGAAAUUAUUUGAAAUAUCAUUUGGAAUAAUUACUGUAACACUUUUUGUGAUAUGAUAUAUGUGAGAUAAAAAAGUAAUUAGAAAGAUAAAAAGAUAUGUUGAAAAUUGUAUUUAUAAUGUAAGCAAAUAAUUUGGAGCCAAAUGAUGGCUAUCCAAAUGAAACUCUUUAUUUGGGAUGAACUAAUUGGAGUUCUUUAUUCUUUGUACUCGUGAAUGCAAAAUCGAUUGUUUAUUCAUUCUUUAGUCAUGUGUAUCGUUUACUAUUUCUUUUCUUCCAACCCAACAAAAUUUGCCACUAUGUAUUCACAUUUAGUAUAAGCAUGUACAGGUCCAAAAUGCAUAACCAUCCAUUAGAAUAAAAGUUGCUUAAAAAAUUAACAGCAACUUGUGAUAUUUGGCUUUCUUGAGAAGAAACUUCUGUAACAUUUGGUUGGCACAUUACUUCUAGUGAUCAUUUUCUUAGGUGGAUAAUUCAAAUUUGCAGCUCAGAAAUAUGAUGUGGUAAGACAUUUCUAUUUACUUACUUUUUGGGGUUUAUAAUGUUGAACCCUAUUUCUAAUUAUUUUAUUUCAAAAUAAUCUACUAUAACCUUUUCCAUUUCUCUGUCUCAUGUUGUUUUAGAGCUUAAUCUUACCUACAACCUACAUGGCCAGAUUUAAGGUUCACUAAAGAAGUAAUUGUUGGAAUUUAUUAAGCAUGAUUCUUCUAACAAAAUGUUCAAUUGGCUCUAGUUUUCAUCUACAUUGGUGCAAAAAAAAAAAAAAAAUUCUUCGACCUUCGGGUAAUAAGGAAUGAAUUGAAGUUCAUCUUAAGCAUCAGUAGACAAAAAGCAUAAUUGUGCCUUCAAUUUUGUAAAACUGAUAAUUCCUUUUCAUCGUGCCUACAAAAUUGCAAUCACCGGAAAAGGAUGAAUAGUUAGAGUUGAGAAACAAAAAGAAUAGGAAAGACAAUACCUAUUAUGCCUUGAACUUUUCUUUUAGCAAAACGGGUUGUUCUAACUAUAAAUCUACACCCCUCUUUUUGACCAUUUCUUUCACUUACUUGAUCGUCAAUACUACUAGGAAUAAUUAAGGUCAUACUAUACAGGACUUUGUAAUUUGAUGGAAGAAGUUAUUGUAGUAAUUUGCAAAAUUGUCUCUACAUUUCACUGACUCAAAUCAGUUAAGAUCAAACUUUAACGAAUGCCAAGUGUUACUAUCCAAAAUAAUAUUAAUUUUUGUACACAAGUUUGACUAUAACCUCUAAUUUUGAUGCUAUACAUAUUCUUUAAUCCAUGUACGUCAACAUAUAACAUAACAUAUUUGUCUGGUUGUAUCUGUUCAUACAUAGAUGUUUUACAUUUUAUCUUUAUUUAUUUUUUCUGAUUUUAUAGGUUUCUAGUAUAAAUUUAUCUCAUAUGUUAAAGAAAUAUGUGUAUUUUUUAAGAUUAGGAUAACUUUUUUAUACACUACCAAUGUAUAAUUUUUUUAUACUAAUAUGUUUAGAUCAUAUCACAUGAGAUGAAUUCAAAUUUAAUCAUGCACAUGUGGCAUACAAUCAAACCUAUUAGUGUGAAAAAAUAACUAUAUACUAUCAAUGUGUAAAAAGUAAAUUGUUAAGGUUAUAUCUAUAAACGUUGUAACAAGGAGAUUAUGCGAUAGAUUUUCUGGCCUAAUUGUUGAACAAUGACCAAUGAACAUGAUACAUGAACUUUUAUCGCUUGAAGAUGAGGGGGAUGGUAAUAUAAUUCUCAAAAACUAUAAGGAUGUCUUUACAAUUUUUUAAACUCGCACUGGAUUGGUGCCACGUUAACAUCUAUAACUGUGGUCUACUGGAAUCCCAUUGGCCCAUUCCUAGCGUUGCCCACGACCCAAAAGAUCUUCAAAAUGUACGAAUCAAUGGCCAAGCAAAGUCAAUAGUCAAUCGUGAGAAACAAAUAAAAUGAAAUAGUCCAUGGUCAAAAAACCAAAAGAAAACACCAGAUAGUAACACAAAAUGAAAAGGAGUAGAAUUAAGUGUGAGAAAAAAAAUCCGAGUCAAGUAAGAUCUCACUUUUGGAUAAAAUUUUUUUAAGUAAUUACAGAAUUUGAAAGAAUAUGUUUUAAGCUUUGGUUAUAUAGUAAAAGAAUAAAUUUUAUAUACACCGAUAGUGUAUAUAUCAUUACCGUUAAAUCUAUAACACAUUUGUAAAAAUUAAAUUUUAAAUUCAAAUUUUACAUAUAUGUCAUUCAUUUAACGCUGUAUACUGUCAUUGUAGGUUAGUUUAAUCUAUAAUAUUAAAAGAGUAAACUUUCAAGUUCUACUUGUAAAUUAGGAUAUUUUUCAUGUAGAUUGUAUGUGUAUAUAUAUAUCACUAAAAUGAGAAAUUUUAUUUUCUAAAAUUCUUUAAAAACUUUCAUACACUUAAAAAUAAUUUGAAACUUCUUUAAUUUAAGCUUUGAUUUUGCCAUCCUUUACCCAAAAAUUUCCAUUUAAAAAGGAAAAAUAUAUCUUUUAUCUUUUGAUAUGAAAAUAUCUAAAACUUUUUUCUUCGAAAGGAACAAAAUGGCUAAAAACCUAUUUUAGGAACCUUCCAUUUUCCAAGUGUGACUAUAGAAGCCAAUGGCAAUUUCUCUCCUCAUCAAGUAAAGAAGAAGGAAUCUUCCAAUAAAAGAAUCUCCAUCUCCAAACGCUGCCUAAUGCUCUGUUUUUCUUCCUCAGUAGAGCCCUCUCACCUUCACUAGGGUUUAUUGAGCUCCAUUUCUUCCCUGCUGAUCGCAAAAUUCUGUAAGAAAAGGGCGAGAAAAAAAAAAGGAAAAAAACGCUUAGAGACUUGGAAAAAUGGUGGGGAAAAGUGACAAGGAUAGCAAUAGUGGCGGCGGCGAUAAGGCGGAGAUGGUGGAGAUGUUUCUGAAAAUCGGAUUGGAAGAAAAGACGGCGAAGAAUACUAUAGCUAAUAAUAAGGUUACCGCUAAUCUCCUCGCCGUCAUUCAAGAGGUAAAAGUUAAUUCAAUCUCGCACGCAAUUGUCUUUUCUGCUGAGUAAUCGUCGUUUGUGUUCUUAUUCGCAUUGCAUGUUGAUAUUGCUACUGAAUUCAGAUUUUUAUGCAGCUUUAACUUAUCAUUUUUAGAUCUCUCUAGCUCUUUUUCCUUGUUGGGAGUUGAUUUUUGCUCGUUAAUUAGGAUUUUUGUUUUGUGUGAAUGAAUUAAAACAGAAAGGUGGAGAAGAAGGUGUCAGUUGGAAUCAUUUAUGGUAGAGCAUAUAUUCAUGGGUCAAAUUUGGCAUGCCUAGGUUGAGUUGAGUUAGAAGGUCUGCUAAUAAAAGAAGUCGGAAGAAAGAAAAUUUUGGAUUUCCUAGCUUAGGUAAAGGAUUUCCCGAGGAAAUGUUUCGUUGAUCUAAUAUCAGCAAUUGCUUGAUACAUUUGUGCUUUUCAGGAGUUCAGGUUUAUGCGGUAGAUUAAAAAAGGAAAAAAAAAAUUCGAUAGGAAGGCAAUGUUUGGGUCUAAUUUUGUUCUAAAAGACAGGUUUUAAAUUUACUUUUUUGUAUCGUAGGUGGACUAUUAAAUUUGGAGGAGUUACAUGUGUAUAUUUGCCAUCUAUGCAUGCAUGUAGCUAUGUGUGCAGAAAGGAAGUAAAAAUUGGACAAUAUGUGUUGUUUCAUUUUGCUACUGCUUACUGUCUGGGAUGAAAAGAAAAGGAGCGAGUUCCUUGUAAUAGGUAGGACCUGUAAGCUUUGAUAAUAAGCAAGGUGUGAUAAUGUGACUGGUUUCUCAAUGAGACUUGGGUGUGCCUUGUGCUAUAUUGUUAGAAUAGCAUGAUGUACUUGUUUAUUUGGUUGGAGCAUAAAUAUUACCUUAGAUUUCAUCUCUGAUCUGUGUAGCUUCCCUCAUCAUUUUACUUUUCAGGCAGAAGUAACAGAUGGCUGUGAUCGGACUGUUGGAAAUCUUCUUUAUACGGUAAGUGUACCAUUGUGGUAGAUGCAGCUUAGUGACAAAUGCGAUAUAAUUAUUUGAUGCUCACCAGCCAAUUCCUAUUCAUGCUUGUUUCAGUUUGUUCAUUUACAAUCUGAAGCUUUAUGGAAACCUAAUAUGUUGUUGAAUAGUUUUGUUAUAUGAAAAGUUCCAGAAGUACCCUAUGAUCUCUUUUCGAAAGGAUUGAAUAGCUUUUCUUUCCUUUUUUUCUUAUUUUUAAUUCUAUUCUCUUCCUAGUCGGAAAUAGUAUGCGAUCGAAUUAUUAAAUAUGGUUAAAUCUUUAUUGCAGGUUGCUACCAAAUUCCCUGCAAAUGCUCUUGUUCAUCGACCUAUUUUGCUCAAGUAUAUUGUUUCAUCGAAGGUCUGUCUCCCCCCCCCCCCUCUCUAAUUCUUAAUUAGGAGCAACUAGAACAUUCAAUUGAGUGAAAUUUCUGCGCACUUGGCAAGUUCGUUUGCUGAAAUUAAGACAUUUCUGUUCCACUAUCAAUCCUCAAAAUUUUAUUAUGCUCAAUAUUUGUAUGAAUUUAUCUUUUUGUGCAACUCAUGUCUUUCUCAAAGUUCUUUUAUAAACUAAAAUAUCGGUAUAUAAGACUUGUUCAGAAGGCCUUAGGUUUCUGUUGUUGCCUUUUAAGUUUCUAUAUAAAAUACCUUAAACAGUGAAGAAAUGUCUGAGAUGUUUGGAUUGGAUGCUUUUUGAUUUACUGAAUUGUGCAUAUUCUGUAUGGCAGAUUAAAACUCCUGCUCAAUUAGAGGCAGCCUUUGCAUUCCUUGCUGCCAUUGCUGGUGAGAACUUGAAGGCUAAUGAGUUCGAAGACGCUUGUGGUGUUGGUAUGAUCAGACAAUAUAUGUCGUUAAUUUCCGUCCAGAUUGAUUACUAUUACUGCUUUGACACUGUAUAAACCAAAGGCUAUUAUUUGUUCAUGUAAUAGUGUUUAGAAGUCCUAGCUGGUUCUGGUUGUGGUUUGUCAUUUUCUUGUUCUUUGCACCUCCUUGUAUUCCAUGGCAUUACUAUUCAUUCUUUGAACUUUCUUAGUUUAAUGUUGCAUUUAUUCCGUAUUAUCACAUGCAUACAGACUCUACAGCUUUUAUAUUGAGCAUGUUGGCCUGUGCUGUUUGUUUUAGUUAAUCUCAAAUGCAACAAUCCUUUAACUACUUGCAUUGGUGUGACAAUUUAACACUAGGCACAUUAGUUGUUGAUAUUAAUUCCAUGAACUUUUUUCUUUGGAGAUUCAACUUAAUAACAGCAAGGUGUAAAUAAUUAACGUCUAAAAACAGUAUUUAUUUGUUGGGGAGCAAGAAAAUUAACAAUAACUCAAAACAUAGAAUGCUAACAGGAUCAUUGUGUCUCAUAGAAAAAGCACAUCCUGCCUAUUGCUCCAUGAUUUCUAUAUGGGUAUAUAAUUCUUGUAAAUUUAGUGGUGUAGGCUUUUUUUAUUGCCAGGGUGGGAUGUUAUGCAUAUUUAAUUUCAUGUACAUGAUAAAUCUGCAGGUUAAUAAAUAUAAUAUUCAACUUCAAACAUUAUGCAUUGGUUUAGCUUUGGUUUCCGUAGAACCUAAAUAAUCUGCCUCAAUGGUCAGUUAGCUUAGACUAGUCAUGAUAUGUAUUUCUUUUGGAACUAUUUGAGGCUGACUGUGUGCAUAAACAGGAGUGGAGGUCUCUGCUGAAGAUAUAAAUCUUGCUGUUAACGAAGUCUUUGAAGAGAAGAAGUCUAUGAUUUUGGAGCAACGCUAUCGCACAAAUGGUUUGUUUAUCUUCAUUUUUUAAAAAAUCUUUUUGGGUUCCUUUAGACUCAAUAUGCUCAUGGUGGAAAAUUGUUUUUCUGCCAUUGUAUCUAGUGUCCUAAACAUUGUGGGUGUCAUACCUCAGAAGAAAAUUUAGUACCACUAUAUUUUAUGGUACCUGGCAUAGCAAAAAUCUUUGUUUUUGGACAUCAGGUGCUGCAGAGGGAAAUUUGAACUGUUUUUGGUAAGCUGUAUUGGCCAAAACUUUGGAGUUUUGAUGGAGGGCCUAGUUUUGGGGAAAUGAAAAAGACUAUUCAUCAAUGACGAGUUUGUGUAAUUUGUCAAUAUAUCAGACAUUCAUUGGCAGUGCAACUACAGGUUUUAGUAUUGAGGAUUAAUUUUUGGUAAUAUGCUCAUACCGUAGCAUUCAAGGGGAGCAUUCAGAGUGGAAAAUGUUUUGUAGUGUAUGCUUUGUGGAGACAGAAAUUUCAGGGUCUGGAUGGGAGGAAAAUUGCUUUGGAAAAUGGAAAGCGCCAGCUUAUUGUCUUUUUUGUGUUGGUUAAAAAUUCCAUCGUCAUUUGUGUAGGUUGUUUUGUGUAUUUUAGCAGGAGCUUACAGAUACAGGUGUAAUAAAGCUGCUGGUUUACCACUUCUAUGCAGUCUUUCACUGAACUCAAAUUAUAUAAUUAUAAAAAAAGAAGAAAAAAUGUAGAUACUGGUGAAUGCACUUUAUGCCUUAGGCAGACAUACAUUCAGCUUUCUUCACAUCAAUCAUAGCGUACAACUUUGCAUUCCAUACCUGGAAAUAGGUUGAGAUUUUCAUUGUGCUUAAAUUAAUAGUCUAAAUUCCCUGACAUGAUUUUAUUUUUAUUUACCUAGCUUGUAAUUUCGUUUCCUCUUUUGUUUUCGUUAACAUCUUCAUAUGAACUAUGCCUUUUGUAGUUGGUGAACUUUUUGGUCAUAUUCGAAAGAAGCAGCCAUGGGCAGAUCCUAAGAUAGUCAAGGUAUUGAAAGUAACAUUCCCAGACUUGGAGCUUUCUGAAAGAAAAUGAACAUGGAAGAAGGAUUGAUUGGUCUUGAAAACAGAAUAAGAAAUGUUUUCGUUCUUCUUCUUGUUGCUAACCUCUUCACUUGUACGAUCAGCAACUCGUGGAUGCAAAAUUAGUUGAGCUACUGGGUGCAAGAACUGCUGCAGAUGAUGAGAAACCUAUAAAAAAGAAGAAAGAGAAGCCUGUCAAGGUGGAGGGGGGCACAAUUAUUCUGCCUUAAAUUCAGUAGUAUAUUAGUUAAAAGUUGUCUCUAAUUUAUUAAUUUGGUGUUAUGCAGGAUAAAGUUUCUGCUGAAGAGACACCUCCAUUGAAACCAUCUGAUGAAGAAGUUAAUCCAUAUACAAUAUUCCCUUCACCAGAAGAAAACCUGAAGGUGUUUUAACAGUGUCUUAUUUUACCGCAUUCUGAGCUUUAUAUACUGACUUGUAUUUGAAAAAUAGAGGCAAGUUCAAAUUCACAUCUGAUACCAUAAAACAGGAAAUUCUUUGGUUUCUGGGCAUGAUGAUGGUGUUUUAACUUCAAUGUACCAUUGGAUUCUUAUAAAGUUUUUUCUCUCUAUUUUAAUAUUCUUAUAAAGUUUUUGGUCUCUAUUUUAAUAUAAUUACUUUCGUGUAGCAAUAUAUGGAAAACUUUUGUAUUGAGCUGGUUUAGAACUUCUAUACAUUAGUCCAGUGUAUAUGGACUUAUGGCUUUCUGUCUUAACAGCAUGGUGUUUGUUUUCAAUUGCAUAAACAUGAUAUGGUAACUGUUUCCAUGUUGUCGCUCAAUCUGCUGGCUACUGCUAUGUUGAAGAAUAUUAGACAAUCGCUCAAUUGUAGUUUUUUUCAACAUGCAGGUGCAUACGGAAAUAUAUUUCAGUGAUGGACGGGUUCUCAGACCUUGCAAUUCGAAGGAAAUACUUGAUAAGCAUUUGAAGACUACAGGAGGAAAAGUUUGGACUCGUUUCCCACCAGAACCUAAUGGAUAUUUACACAUUGGUCAUGCCAAGGUAGUCAAGUUUCUAUGAUUGCUGUAGAUAUGUUAUAUUGAAUCAGCAAUUUGUAUUUUAACGUCUUCACUCUUUUAAUGAACCGUGCAGGCUAUGUUUGUGGACUUUGGUCUGGCAAAGGAGAGAGGUGGAUCCUGCUAUCUGAGGUGGGAAUUGUUCUCUUUAGCAGCUUGAUCAUAUUUUGAAGUUUUCUUUCAUCAUAUUUUUUAAAUGCUUUUUUUGCUGAUAAAUUUUUUAAACUCAAAAUAGAGUAAUCAUGAUAGUUUUGCUUUUGCAUUUGGUGUUCUGUUUGUGUAGUAAAAUGCACAAUUUGAUUUGUCAAAAAAAAAAAGUUUGCAUCUGCUUAUGAUCAUUGUGAUUGGGCAUACAUGGAGGCUGAUGUUUCCAAUGAAAUGGGUGGCCUCAAAAAGAGUAAAAUGGUGAAAAUGGACAUCUGAAUGAAUAAAACUUGUUCAUUGUAAUUGGAUUUGUUGAGGCUUUGGAAAAACUCAGCAUAAAGUGUCAAGCUACAACAAAAGAUGGGCUGUUCACUCAUGCUACAAAACCUUAUUCUUUUCUCCCUCAGGGGUUCAAAAGCUUUUUUUUUUUUUUAAUUGACAACAUUUUUUUGAAUUUUAUUGUCAAUGGAAACAGGAAGUAAGUAAUUAUUCUUUAUUCUGUUGUCAUUUUCCUUAAUGGCUUACAGGUAUGAUGAUACCAACCCGGAAGCUGAAAAGAAAGAAUAUAUCAAUCAUAUUGAAGAAAUUGUUGGAUGGAUGGGAUGGGAACCUUUUAAGGUAAUACUGCAGUGAAGUCUGAUUAAUCUUUCUUUUUGUUUCAGUGUUUACAAUAUGAUAGCCUUAUGCAGAUCACCUACACGAGUGAUUAUUUCCAAGAGUUGUAUGAAUUAGCAGUGGAGCUGAUAAGGAGAGGUCAUGCUUAUGUUGAUCACCAGGUUGGUCAGACUGAAAUAGACAUGUGAAGCUGUUGAAGAAUAUAUUUUUAUCCUCAAUCUGCUUCAUCUUUCCUCAGUUACCCAGCCUGAAUUUUGUAUUAAGUAUAAUCUUUAGCAACAUUCCAGUGGGAACUGAGUUUUUUUCGUCAUGCUUUGGCAUUGUUUGGGAAAUGAUAUUUUCUGCCAUAUUUGUCAAGACACCUGAAGAAAUAAAGGAGUACAGGGAGAAGAAGAUGAACAGCCCUUGGAGAGAUAGACCUAUUGAAGAAUCACUCAGAUUGUUUGAUGAAAUGAAGAGAGGGAUGAUCGAGGAAGGCAAAGCUACAUUAAGAAUGAAACAGGAUAUGCAGAGUGAUAACUUCAAUAUGUAUGAUCUCAUUGCUUAUCGUAUCAAGGCAAGUGUCUCUGCUUGUGCUGGUUUCCUGAAGUUGGAAAGUUAAGUUUGUUUUCCUUUUGGGAUAGUCCUGAGCUGCUAAUUGAACUUUGGAUGUUUCUUGCUAUUUGGGAGUGUAACAAGCCAUUUUGUUGUAACCGGUUUUACUUUCUCUUUUCCAGUUCACUCCUCAUCCGCAUGCCGGAGACAAGUGGUGCAUUUACCCUAGCUAUGAUUAUGCACAUUGCAUUGUAGAUUCUCUUGAAAAUAUUACUCACUCGGUGAGACACUUACCUUUACUGUUUAUUUCUUUUUGUGUUUUGCUCUGACUCAUACAAGCUUCUACUCAUUGGCCUUGAAGGACUACUGCUUAUUGUAGUCACAUCUCUUCACAGUUUCUUAUAAUGAUGUAUUUAAAAUUUCUGUUCACUUAGUUUUGGGGUUGGAUUAAUUUAAGAGGAUAGUGAUUCAGAUUGCCUUGACUGUUGGUCCUUCAUUUUUUUUUUCCGUUUGUUGAAGCAUAAAGAAAUACUUAAAUUGCUUUUGCUUUCAUUUUAACUACUUUCAUCUAAUGAGAUUCGUCAAUUUCACAAGUUCAUAACAUCAUAUGAACAGCUUGCAAUCCAGCUAUCUGGAAAAUAGUACGGUUAUGCAUCUAAAAUUGAACCACUGUGAACAAGUUUAAUGUGAUGGAUACUACAUUAGUCAAGUAUGUUCUCUUGAAAUUCAAGUCUCAUACAACUUGUGAAGGUCACCUAUUGCAAAUGGUCAUGUCUUUUAAACCUAGUGCAAAUGGUCUUUUCUUCAGACACAUAUGCCUUUAUGAUUCUGUGCUAUCUUCUAAUACUUUUUGGAUAAGCAAAGUUGCCACACUCUCUCUGUCUCCCCCCCCCUUCUCCUCCAACUCCUCCUUUCCCAUCCCCUUCCGCUUCUUCAUGCUGGAAGAUACGAAGAUAUACUCUCAUUUGUGGAAUUUACAUUUGACUUGUAAUUAAAAGGAAGGUGAUAUUGAGAUAGACAUUCCUCACUGGUACUGCUUUCCUAUUUUUUGCUGCAAAUUGCGUGGAAUUCUAUCUUUAUGCUGUGAUAGCUCAAACCCUUGCAUAUUCCCCUUUAUGCAUGUCAAAUUUAGAGAAUGUGAUGUGCUAUCUUCUGCAGCUUUGCACACUUGAGUUUGAGACACGCCGUGCAUCAUACUAUUGGUUGCUUGAUGCACUGGGUCUUUACCUCCCUUAUGUCUGGGAGUAUUCACGGCUGAAUUUGACCAACACAGUUAUGUCUAAACGCAAGGUGAGCUUAAGGUUCCUAUUCUGGCAUAGAUUACUGCAGUUUUUCAUGGUCUCCUCUUUAACAAGCCAGAAAAUUAACCAGGCUUGGUAAUUUGAACCUCAAAAAGAGGUGCAUGCUAGUUUGCAUUCUUGAUCAUUGUGCGCUCUUGCAGUUAAAUCGUCUUGUGACAGACAAAUGGGUUGAUGGUUGGGAUGAUCCUCGGCUGAUGACGCUAGCUGGUUUACGGCGUAGAGGGGUCACUCCAACGGCUAUUAAUGCUUUUGUUCGAGGGAUUGGUAUUACUCGAAGGUCGAGUUGCACUUGUUACUUUAUGCAGGCACUGAGUUGACACGGCAUUUUCUUUUUGCAUUCAAGCAGUUGGACUAACUAUAUUCAUACCCUCUUUCAGUGACUCUAGUCUCAUACGUUUGGACCGCCUUGAGUACCAUAUACGGGAAGAAUUAAAUAAAACAGCAGCACGGGCCAUGGUGCUGCUAAAUCCACUUAAGGUACCUUUCAUGUAUCUCAUUUCGCUUUUAGUCACUGAAUAGUGACAACCACUUGACAUAUCAGUUGGUGCAUAAUUGAAAGUUUGUUCUAAUAUUUGGUUUGAGAUUUCUUAUAUUCAAGGUUGUCAUUACAAACUUGGAAGCUGGUUCAGUGAUGGAUCUUGAUGCAAAGAAGUGGCCAGAUGCGGAUGAUGCAUCUUCAAUGUAUAAGGUACGUAAUCAUUUUCAGUUUGCCUGAAUGACUGGGGGUUCUUUGUGACUGCUAUUGUUUUGAUUUUUAACUGAAUUAAUGGGGUUCUUCCUGACUGCUAUUUUUUGAUAUCUGUAUCACUUGCCAAUUCCAGAUCGAAUUGUUGCCUUUUUUUUUAAAUACUUUUUUACUCUGCUUGCAGGUUCCUUUCUCCAAAGUUGUAUAUAUUGAACGUUCAGAUUUUCGUAUGAAAGAUUCCAAAGAUUAUUAUGGGCUGGCUCCUGGCAAAUCUGUCCUACUAAGGUUCUUUGUUUUUUGCUGGGUUUCUGACUGAUGUUUUUGAUUAAUGUUCGUGUGAAGCGGACAUUCAGCAUGUAGAAGUUUAUUGAUUUUUUACUAUUUUCCUGCAGGUAUGCAUUUCCUAUUAAGUGCACCGAAGUAAUACUUGGUGAUGACAAGGAGUCGGUUCUUGAGAUCCGGGCUGAAUAUGAUCCUAGCAAAAAGACCAAGCCAAAGGUGUUCUUGAGGACAUUUGUGUGACCAAUCGUUGUUUUUGUCUAUAUAACAAAACCUAUUUAUCUGACAUUUUAAGUUCCUGCUCUGCAGGGGGUUCUUCACUGGGUAGCAGAAUCUACACCAGGAGUUGACCCACUCAAGGUGGAAGUCAGACUGUUUGAUAAACUAUUUCUAUCUGAGGUACUCUCUAUUUUGUCUAAUUAUGGUGGUCUUCUCGUGAUUUUGUUCUUGCUAUAAUGACAAUGAGCGCUAUUGUUGAUGCUGUUAGAAUCCUGCUGAACUGGAUGAUUGGCUUGGUGAUUUGAACCCUCAGUCUAGAAUAGUGAUACCAGAUGCAUAUGCUGUAAGUGCACUCCAAAAUGCUGCUGUUGGGGAUAAAUUUCAGUUUGAACGGCUUGGUGAGUUCCAGUUCUUGCAUGCAUGCUUUUUUGCAGUUGGUAUGCAGUGGCCUUUUCAAUAGUAGCCAUGAACAAUUAAACUGAUGUCAUGAUUAUGAUUAACAGAUGAUCUAUUACCAGUAGGUGUGGGGAUUUAGCCAAACUACCUCAACAUCUCAUUUUCAUAAGCUAAUAUCAUGCCCUUUCAAUUGUUUAUCAUCUAAUUGAAUGCACUGUUAUUGUUAGGAAUACCACCUCUGUUAGCUCCAUUAUACGUUUUGAUGGAUUUGUUACCGUGGUAUUUCUGUUGCUUUACUUGGUCUGGCUAAGAUUUUGGGAUUGAUCUGGGGCUAGGGAGAAGCACAGUGAAAGUUGUUUGUGAUGGAUGGGUCUUAAGUUUUGGGUUUAGAGGGUGGGAAGAGGAAUACUUGAUGGUGCUGGAGAGAGUGGAUGGAUUAUUGUGCCUACUACGAGUUUGAUUGGUGUUGACUGGACAUCAGCAUGCAUGAUUGUUGGGGAUAAUCCUGUGAUCAGUUAUUUUGGGUUUUCCCCUAAAAGAAAUACAACAUUUUGAAGACCAUGAUGAGGAAAAGUCAAACUCCAUAUAAUAUUAAUUAUAGGGUUUACUGUUAUUUUUAUACCGAUAGUGUUCAAUGGUAGUUUAUCCAAAGCACACGAAACACAAACGUUAUUCAUCCACAGAAGGGAUUUUAGAAAGGUAGAUUUAAACAGUGGGGUUUUGGAGGACUAUUAAGCAGCCAAAUAUUUUGUUGUAAUUCAGUUGGCAUUAAAGAGCUUGCUUAGGAUUUAUGUUUCUGUUUGCUGAGUCGUUUUUUAAGUUUUCAGGAGGCGUACCAUAACUUGUUUGAUGUAUCAAGUCACUAAUAGCACCUUCCUCUUCUCUGUGUCUUUAAAUUUGAUAGAGUUUAAUAUUUUUUGUUUAAUGUAUUUUUCCAGGCUACUUCGUGGUUGAUCAGGACUCUACUUCUGAAAAGAUCAUAUUUAAUCGGACGGUCACGUUGCGAGAUAGCUAUAGUAAGGGGGGGAAGUAGGUGGCUGCAUGGAUUUGUCGCUUGAUGUGCUCCAUAUUUAUGGAUAUGCUGUAGUAUGUGAAAAAGAGUGCGUCAUUUUGUUCACUAAGGCGUAACUCCAGACGAUCUUGUACAUUCUGUAGCCUUGGCAAGAAGGACAAUAAAUUUUCAAAGGACAUGCAAUCUUGAAUGUCUAAAUUUUGGCAUCUUAUUGCAUGGGCCAAAAUCUUCUUAGAGAGUGAAGAAACGUGCUUCUUGUUUUAAUGAUAACCAGACACCAAUUGUUCGUCUUCUAGUAGUUCAUUUUAAGUAUUGCUAUUAACUGGUAAAUGUCUGGUACAUGUUCCAUGCGGGCUUUUUGGUUACGGUCUAUGAAGGUUGAAGUUCAUUUUAAGUAUUGCUAUUAACUGGUAGAUGUCUGGUACAUGUUCCAUGCGGGCUUUUUGGUUACGGUCUAUGAACGUUGAAGACCUGAAGUGGACUCACCAAACCUGCUUCAAUAGCACGAGGCUAUUUUUAUUUAUUGGUGCUUGGUACUAGGAUGACACGAAAGAUGUCCUUAGAUCUUACUUCCAAUGGUCUUUUUCUAAAAAGAAGCGGCGAAGGACCUGUUAGUGCCAUCUAAAGGCGUGGGGAAAAAAAAACGAAAAAACAAAAAAUGCACACGCCAAUUCUAGCAAAUUAUGCCCUGCAUAUUAUGCGUCUGUGCAUGCCUCCUAUAAAGUUAAAAGAGUGGAUCCACCUGCACCACGGCAACAUGAUAUAGACUAUGGCCCCCGUCUAAAUAGCCUCGUUCCCUGCCCCUAAUAGCAAAUAAUGAUCAAGUAGAGAAAAACCCCCGGCAUACGGGAAUAAGCUGAUCUAAUCUCAGCAUCUUUGUGGGGGGGGUUAAGGUUGUUUCAUUUCAAGGGACCGACCACCACGAAAAGGUUAGAGAGUUCAUAUAACGUUUAUCUACAAGUAUCCCAUGACAAACACGAGCAGGAGAGAAGAUGAUAGGAGCCGCGGUCGCACAAGGAAAGUAAAGAGAGUCGCCAGUAAGGAUACAAUCCCCCUUGUGUGGAAUUGCAUACAUUAUUGUGGUUGAGAGUUUAGUCAUCUCACGUUAAUGUGCGAGUGUGACAUCUCAUGGCAGCGAAAAGGAUGCAUUAUUGAUCAAAAUCCGUAAAUGGGGGAAGUAUCUGAAGGUAAGCUUCGCUUUAACUUUUUAGAAUUUCAUCUCCACAUGAAAUCUUAGCGUCGUUGGUCACAUAGUAGAAGAUCAGACUUUCAUAAGAGCAUAGUGAUAGUUGAGGUUGAUGUGACUACUACGACCAAGCUCAAAAUUCACGUUAAAAUAACUUAUGACGAUGAUACUGUAAUCUCAUUGAUCAAAAUUUUAUCUAUAGAAGGUAUGACUACUUAUGUAGUGUGGUAAAAUUUUUGUACAAUAGCACUAACGGGCUAGAUAUAUGCUACAUGUGCAUGAUGAUUUCAAGUUAAAUUAAAAUUUUGCACGUAUUUUGUAUUCACACUGCUAGCAUAAUAUAUUGUAGAAAAGAUUAAUGCUUGUGAUAUAGUAAAAUGAAAAAGAGUAAGGUAUGACUUUACCAUUUAUACUAGCCUUUGCCUUUGUAAGUCUACUAAGGAUGUACCAUGUUGGUCCUUUAUUCUUGAGGAUUUGGCCAAUUAAGCAUCUUAUCCAUUAUUAAACGCCAACUUAAUCCUUUUAUUUAUAAAAAGGAGGAUUAAGUUUUUAUUCACUUUCAGUGUAGUAAAUUUUUUUACACUAACAGGGGUAGAUAUAUGUGACUUGUACAAAAAUUAAAUUUCAAAUUUGAAAUUGAAUCACAUGACAUGCAUCUACACUCGCUCGUAUAUACGCUGACCAUGUAUAAAAAAUUAUCCUAAAAAAUGACCUUUAUUUGUCAAGUUAUAAAAGUUUUAAGAGAAUGUCGAGGGAAGUCAAUGGAGUAGUCACACUUGCACGUGCAUGGUGUUUAAGUUUAGCAAGUUAUUGAGAAAUUGAUCAAUUUGAUUCCUUUAUCUUAAACUCUUUACCAAUUAAUGUGGUCCCCUCGUUAACAUGGCAGACAAUUUUUGAUGUCUUUAUUCAGGUUGAGUUGAGUUGCAUCCGGAAUGUGUUAGUAUGCCAAUUUUGUUAUUCUUUUGUGCUUUAACGCAAAUAAAAUUUUUAAAAUUUUAGCCUCAUGUCAGUUGCACCCGAGUAAAAUCAGAAUCUUUUUUUUUUUAAUACACUACACUAAAUUGUUGCAUGCGUAGAAUCAUAAACUAGUCAAACAAGUUAAUAUUAAUACGAUCUCAAGAUGAAAUUACACCAAAAAAGCUGCCUUAAUUUUUGUGCCAACUAUUUAGGAAAAAAAUGGAAAUGUUAAAGAGCCAGAUUAAUUUAUAGAACUCUUCAAAUGAACCCAAAAUUUAAAAUCAAUACUUGUUUUUUCUCCUUUUUUUUUUAUGAACAAGCUGGGAGUAUGUUUGAAAUACCUAAACUCAUUCUAUGAUUUUUGUUUGAAAUUUUUUUGCAAAGUCGAGAAUUUUUCGAGCUCGUUUGAUCCCUUUUUUUUCACAAUGUUUUAACUAAAAAUGAGCAAAAUGCUUGAAUUUUUUUUUUCUUGCAAACACAAAACUACUAUUCUUCAUUAAGAUUGUUUCAGGCGAGCUUAAGGAUAUUUAUAAAGUAGUAUUCAGGAUUUAAUGAAAAAUUUUGUAGUAUUCUUCGUCCAAACCCAUAGCAUGAAAUUUGUCAAAAGCUCUCUCAAUUUCACCAGCAAAAGGACUACAUUGGCCCAAUCUUUAUAAGUUAAGCAAUCCUGCCUCGAUAACUAAGGUAUCACAUCUUUGAAACUUUAGAGAUAAAGUACCAAAUUAGCCAAAUUUUUUAAUAGUUUGAACAACGGUUCACCUGCAGUUCAUGCGACUAAUCCGUCCUCCAAAGGCAUCUUUAAAUUGGAACCAGUCUUGGGGUUAAAUGUCUAACUCCAAUUAAAUUCUUCAACAGCUGUGGCGGUUCUGCUGUGAUUUCCAUGUCAAUAUCCACAGUCCACCACACCAAAACUCGGUUUUGCAACAAAAAGUUGGCACAUUAUUUGGUCUUUUGUUAUGAAGAUUAGAGACUAAAUCAGAAGACAUUACUAGAUAAGGAAGCGUACUUACCAAAAAACUUAAACAUAAGGGAUCGGGUAAUAGCAAUUCUCCUUAUAACAGAAUAGAACAACCUACAAUCUCUCUUAUCACAACUUUUUGUUGAAUGUAAUGAAUGAUCCUUAACUUAACUAGCUAAAUGGAAGAAAAUUUGGAUGUUUCUUUGCUUAGCCGAUCGGUCUUGGACCUACAGCACCCCUUCAACCUCCAGCCACCACUCGUUUUUUCCAUGGAGGUGAACCCCAUCAGUGAAAAUGAGGCCUUGCACGAGCAACCAAAAGUGAUGGUGCGAGCCUAUGUCCUUAUCAGGAGUUUCAUCAGCACACGAAUAAUGGUCACAAAACUUUUAAAUGGGCGGCGAAAUUGAAGACAAAUAAGGCGUGACGAAUAAGGAAAGAUACAGUAAAUCUCUGGUUUGUGAUGCUGGUUGAGUCAAAUAAAAUUUGGUGCAAUUUCAACGAAACUAAACAUCCGAUCAAACUAACAGAUCUGCUCUGCGAGAGUCGUCGACUAGUCAAUGUAUAAGAUGCGGUCUCGGUGACAGAGUAGCGGUUCGAAUCCUUCUAAUCCCACUUGACUCAGUUGGACCUUUCCGUAACAGAAAUUUAUUUAAAUCCCCAAUAUAUAUUUAGCUUAAGAGUAGUUUAUAUGUUGCUGAUAGAGCUGUUAAAUGAAUCGAGCUGUUCGGUAGUUCGGUUCUCGUUCGUGUUCGUGAAAGGCUCUCGUUCGAAACUUUAAACGAACCGAGUUCAAACGAUUUUUUUUGUUUGAUCAAUAAUCGAGCGAACACGAGCAUGUUCGCAAGUUUUAAUGAACGUUCGCGAAUACAAGCAUAUUCGUGAGUUUUAACGAACGUUCGCGAAUAUGGACAUAAUUAUCAUUUGACAAAUUUUAGGGUUAAUUUUAUGGCUGGACUUUUAUAUUUGGAGGGCAAAUUGCUUUGUUUUAUUUGUUAUUUUUAUGUUAAUGUUAGUUAUAUAGUUAAUGAAUAAUAGAAUUUAGUCACUUAGUGGUUUAAUUGUUUUUGAGAAUGAUUAAUGAUUUGUAUGGCAUAUUUAAGACUUAAAAUAAUUUGGAUUCGAGCAUUUUGAGCAUGUUCGCUAAUGGCUCGUUUAUGUUAAACGAGUCGAACAUAAACUCGAAUUCGAUCAUGAACUUUGUUUAACGAGCCGAAUACGAACAUAGGUUUGGAGUUCGAAAAUUAACGAACGAACACGAACGUUAUUCGAAUCGCUUAAUGAACAAAGCUCAAACAUGAGAUACUCGGUUCGAUUCGACUCGUUUACAUAUCUAGUUGCUGAUUUAAAAAAAAAAAAAUCAAUCAAACUUCACCACUUAGUCACUAUCGAUAGCAUGACUCAUGUUGUUCGGGUCACCCCAUUCACAGUCAUGUAAAGCUUUUAACAAAUUCCAUUCUUUUCCUGCAAAAGAUCGCAUCAUUUCUUGUGGCACCUUGAACAUUGCCCCGUAAAUCAAGCCAUUAGUGAAAUUCUUUCUCAAGAUUGUGAUGAAUUGACUUUGGGAUGAUAUGUAUGGGCUCUUCUUAUCUCUUUUAAGGAAACUCGUUGUAGGUGUUAUGGACUGUGUUAUUUUAAAAUUAUUAGCCAAAUUUGAAAAUCUUCCAAGGUAAUCGCAAUAAGCCCAUCCCCAAGUACAGAGCGGAUGGCCAUUAGUACUAAAAUAACUAAAUAAAUUAAGAUACUUUAAAUAUCAAGUCAAGAUUGGAAUGACUAAUCAAAAGGUUAAAUGGCUUUAUUGGUUGUUAAGUUAACAAAACCUGUUCAAUCUUUAGUAACAAUUAUGAGAAACACAUACAAAGUAAUCAAGCAAGGAGAGCAAGAACGUGAAAAAACUGCAUGCAGUGUCAGUGCUGUUUGACUCAAUUAUUGGGCCAAUUACAAAGUUGAGCAUGUUUGGAUUAUCAUUUUCUGAAAUUUUUAUUAAUAUAUAUAUAUAUUUUGUAACAAUUUGAUGUACAUAAGAUAAAAAUAUGUUUGAGAAAGAAAAAAGUAAAAAAAAAAAUUUUUUUUUUAAGAAAAAUAACAAUUCAAGCAAGGCAACUUUUACAAAAUCGAGAAGGAUUAUAGGUGGAAAGUACGCAUUAGAAACACUAAAUUACCCCCACAGAGUUUUCGUCUGCCUCUAAUAAUUUAAAGAUCCAUACCCUUUUUAUCUCCAAGGUACUAAAGAAAAGGUGAUUUUAGCUAUGAGAGACGAACAAGGCCAAAAGAGAAAUUUGUGUUUACGAAUCAGAGCUAAGAUAAAAUGAAAGACUUCCCGAGGUCCUGUACAGUUUCCUCAGAAAGGGAAGUCCCCACUUUUGAGAAUGUUAAUUGGAUAUGACUACCCCAGUUGAGGCGUUAAUGGUUUAGAUGUUGCAAAUCCCUAUCAUGAAAAGGAGAGGAAAGGAGAAGGCUUAUCAUAUUUCCUCUAGUCAUCUACAGUCAAAUGCAUCCUUCCAUUUUAGUUGGGGAUCUGUACCAUCUUCAAGUAUUAGCAGCACAAUUACUUGUACAAUUGAACUCUCACGUGAUUGAAUCACCCAACACGGUGAUUUGCAAGUCUUGAUAUCAUGAGCUUGCAGGUUUUAAAAGAUGCAGGUUCCCGGUACGAAAAAGAAUCAAGAAAUUGUAAUAGAUGAAUUAAAAUAAUGGAAAGCACGCGGUGCUAAUUGCUCAAUGUGGAAUGAUUAUAAAUUGCAGAUAGUAAUAAUGAUCCAACUUGUGUUCUGCUCAUGCCAAGCUUUCUUGAUAAUGUUUAAAAAAUUAAUUGUGGUGAUCAACUCACAUCACCACCUUACUGAGCUGAGCAAUAAGGACAAUUGAGGAGGGCCCUGCAUUUGUAGUUCUCUGUUCUGAUCUUUUUAUGUGACGAGGAAUCGUUGAAGCUUUGUCCUUUGGGCACAGAUGUGUGGACUGUGGACAAUUGAUUACCAGGAUAUGUUUUCAUGUCGCUUUCAUACUUUUUGAAUAGAUAUCUAGUUCAUUGAAUUGACCAUACCAUUGAUUUUUCUCUGUUAUAGAGAAUUCAGUUAGCAGACAAUAAUGAAUCCCAUUUAAUAUGAUAGACUGAAAUUGAAGACUAGGCCAACCCUAACCACAGUAGCUGAACACUUUUUCCUAAGGUCUCGCUGGCUAGAACGAAAGAUAAAUUGGAACUUUUAGACCUUUAAUUAGCUACCUAGAAAGCUUUCCUUGUAUAUUUGGAUGAUAACAUAUGGACAAAAAGUCAGGCUAAUACAGAUUAAGUCCCUGAUCUUGAACAUAAAUGAACAGUAGUUUGGCCCUCUAACAAGAGCAGUUUUUUUUUUUGGCCAGGCUAACUAGAGCAGCUAAUGAACAAUGCCACUCAAAACUCUAGAAUCUGUAAUCUAGUAAUUAUCUAGAUGCCCACCUCUGGCUUUCUGAAAUGCCACAGUUCAUCCGUGUUCCAAAAAGCACCUGCUGACAUGUCAUCAUUAAACCAAUUAUCAGCUUCUGAAAUCUGACAUUCCGAGAAAUUCAUGUCCGGAGAUUCCAUUGCUUCGGCUGACAUCUCAGGAGGUUGAUAAUGGCUGAAAAUCUCUCCAUCAGGAUAGCUAGUCAUGUCCACAUGGUAACAACUAUCCCCCUCAAUUGAAUUGUUGCAUGCAGAGUUAUUCUUGCCAUAGGUUUGAACAGGACUGCUAUUGGGAUUUUCCUGAGUCUGAGCAGCUGGCUGCUGCAGCAGCAUUAUUCUCACAGAAUCUGAUGAACAUUUUUUUGAGUCCGCCAAUGGAGAUGAUGAUGCCAAAGGGGUUUUAUUAGUUGCUAAAGAAGGAGAGGCGGAAUUAUGAUUGUCUGGGGUAGAAAUGGAAGAAAUGGAUGAUGAGGAGGAGAGUGAUGAACUCUGC
This 65892-nucleotide long non-coding RNA is filed under the name Coffea arabica (coffee). RNAcentral's name for it is "long non-coding RNA (CARA_LNC007579)". Lineage: Eukaryota; Viridiplantae; Streptophyta; Magnoliopsida; Gentianales; Rubiaceae. The record is from RNAcentral.